RNAcentral lists this long non-coding RNA (48288 nucleotides) under Theobroma cacao (cacao). The record is from RNAcentral. Lineage: Eukaryota; Viridiplantae; Streptophyta; Magnoliopsida; Malvales; Malvaceae.
UUAGACAUUGUGUUUAUAAUUUGCCAAAAAACGAAACAGCCCCUAGAUGUUUGCGUGAGUCUAUGUUGUAUGGAAAAUGGUGAUCAAUCUCUUGAUCUUCUUGUAAAGGCUGGUAAACUAACUGCUGGCUCCUUUAUAUGAGAGCUAACCUGGUCAUGCUCAAAAUUUCUUUAAAAGGGAGAUAAUUACCUCUUAUGACUUAAACUUUAAACUUGGGUUAUCCAUUAAAAGAAACUUGUUUGCAUCUUUUUCCUUAGCUUGUUAAUAUGGAAUUACUUUCAAUUGCUUAUUCCUUAAAGUUGAGUGUAUGUCAUGUGUGCGAGAGAGAGAGAGAGAGAGAGAGAGAGAGAGAGAAGCAAAUUCUCUUGUCUUUCAUCAUAUUGUUCAGUUAGUCAUAAUGCUCCAACAAAUUUAUAAGGCUGGAAACAAAGGAUAAUUUACAAUUCCAAAGCUCUACAGGUGAUAUGAUGUUGGAAUAAAGUUGCCAUUCUCUAUUCCUCGAAUAAUCAAUGGGCUCCCAAAUGAUUUUCAACAAAAAACUUUACAUAAUCGUGGGACAUGCCAAAUAAAUAAGGGGAUUUUACAUGAACAUUGAACUUUAACUCCCCAUUCUUGCAACUUCGAAGUCGAUUUUCAAUUUCCAGGAGCACCAUUUAUAGAGCAGAAACCUGAUAAACUUUGCCUAGUUGGAAGGAAAAUAGGCCAUAUGUAUUGAAAUCGUGGUGACAUUAGCAUGCAUUUGUACGCACAAGGCUAUUCCAGGAUUUCCGAUGGCCAGAGCCGCUUCCAUGUAGUAAUCUCCUCCUCACUGCUAAGUUUUCUGAUUCCCCCAUAAAAUCCAUCUGCCUCAUUUCCCUCCUCUCGAUGGUCUUUCCUAUUCAUUGAUGUGCGUCUCCACCUUGAGCCAGGGGUGUAAUGAUUGAACUCUAACACCACUGUGUCUGUAAGCAUCACUUGGAUGUUAGAACCGGGCAAUAACACUCGACCAUCAAUUAUGAUGCAGGAUUUAACACUGUAUGUUCAACUGAAUAGCAAUAAUUAAAGCUUUUAUCUGAAUACCAUUACAGGAAUACACUGCCUGUGAGAACCACAUCUUUCAUUUUUCCAGUUAGUUCCACCAUAAAUACUGAAAGUAAAGAAUGAAUCAAGAAAAUUUCUGGAAAUCUCAAAACUGCGAUAUACAAUUAUGCAUGAAACAAAUUAUCCAAAAGAAUAAAAAAGAUAAUGGACAACACAAAUCAACUUCGUCUUUUGAAAAAAGAUGUAGCUUUUGGACUGCAAUGAAUGAAGGCCUUUACCCUGUCUAAAAUUGACUUCAAACAAGUGCACAAUCAUAAAAGCUAGAAGCUUUUACAAUUAUACAGAGGCAUUUUUGUCUGCUUAAAGUAUAUUUAUCUAUUAAUUGCAACAAAUGUGCUGUUUCUGCUUUCUCAAGUUGCAAAUGAUUACCCAACGAGAUCCUUUCUUUCUUUUGUGGUGUUGGAGAGAGGAUAAGGGAAUUAGUGCUGAUGUAAGUUGACUAGUGGGCAUUUGAGCUCUGUUGGUUUUGUGAACUUGUGAUAAAAGACAGAAAAUAAAUGAAAACUAAGAAGUGUAGACCAACCUUUGCAGCCCCACAUAGCCGAAAGAUUCCAAAUAAGCAAACAAACAGAGUCCAUAGGAAACACAGGGUUCUUUCAGUGUGGUUGGCCAUAAAUAUUCUGCUGAGACAGAAGUUAUCACAAUGCUGGUGGAAAUUAUGACAUGCUGACAGUGAUUUGUCUUGGGGACCAACCCAACAGCACAACCUAUGGCCCAUGUAUUGGAAAAAUGAGAUUCAUGAUAACGACCUAUCCUAAACUGCGUGUCCUCCAUGAAAGUUAACUUUAUAUUCAUCUCAUCCACAAUUUGUUCAUGUCUUAUUUUAAGAAUAUUAAACCUAAAUAGCCAAAUUUGAAACUCCCUUGGUCCUUCUCUCUCUCUCUCUCGGUUAAUUUCUUCAAAACAAGGGUGGAUUUUUCCCUCUUGUAUUGUCAGCUUAGAUUCAUAUGCCCCCUGGAGUAAUUUAGAAGGCGGAUAAAAUGGGAUGCUUGCAGUAUGAAAGCAAUAUCUCCAGAGACAAUUAGUUGUUAGAUUCCCAUUUUUUCUAGGCAAUCCUAUGGAAUAUCAUAGAGUGCCAUUUCAAAGAAGAAAAGAUGAGAUCAACUUACCACUAUUAUGACAACGGCAGUAAUUUUCAUUCCCAUCACAUGACUCCAAGUGACCAACCACACCAUACCACCAACCUGCAACAUAUAUGGUAAUCUUAUCAGCAAUAAAAUCAUUAUAAAAUGAUUAAUAUAAAUUAUUUAAUAUUCACCUGAUGGCAUACCCAUUACAUUAAACUAUUUGCAGAAAAAUGAUAUCAACAAUACUUGAUUAAGAAUUCCUUCUAUAAAAAGUUGCCUGCUGCUUAAUUCUUGUACUAUAGUUAAAAGCUUUCCUCAACCCAUCAGAGAAGUUGAGAUGAUACUUUUCAAAAAAGGGAAAAAGAGUUGAGAUGAUAUUCGGUGUAACCAGCUUUUUGUGACAGUCAAUAAUGGUAUCACUAAGGUUGAACAGGUCUUCUUCAAUGGAAACUUGACUAGCUAUUUUUAUGCUUUAGAUUUUAAAAAAGAACAAAUUUAAUAUAUAUGCGAACUCAUCUUUCUGAACACUGCACUAGAUCUUUCUUGAAAGUACGAAACGCUGCUUUUUUUUUUUUUUUCUUUCAUCUUAAACCAACCUAAAAUUCCUCAGGAAAAUUUUGGAAGUGAAUUUAACAAGCCCCCACGGGAUAGCAUUCCAAGUAACUUUAGAGUAAAACAAAACAAAACAAAACUUAUGAAAUACUUCAAGAAAUUGAUAUGAAGAGCUAACCAUAAGGGAAUUCUUUGUUUCUUCUCCAUUGAAUCUCAAUGUUAUCACCUGGGCGUAGCUCAUUCAAACAAUAAGAAAUAUGAAGAUCAUGUGGUGAAGUAUCAAUAGGUGGUGCUCUUAGCCUUUCCCACGGCACACAAUUCUCUAUGGCCACGGCCCUCCUUCCAUGUGGAGGGUACCUAAAAUGAUCAAACCAAUCUAAUGUCAAUCACCAGAUUAAUAUCCAAGCAUUAGGCCUAUUUUGAUCCGCUGGAGUAGAACCUAAUUUCAUCUUCCAGGACACAGUAUGAGAAAGUUUCAAAACCAAAAUACCACCAUCAAAAUUAUGUUCAUCUCCCAUAUUACCUGGCUUGGAAAGUCUCAGUACGGGGAUCAUAACUGAGUUCCGCAUCAUAGCAUGACAACAUAAAGCCGACAUGGCCAUUCUGCAAAACAGCAGGACAAAGAAUUUCGAAUCAAAACAAAAUUAGGAAAAACAGCAUAGAAUCUGCUGAUUAAAUUGGAACUAGCAUAAAUGUAUAGCUGAUUUAACAGCUGGCAAUUUGGAGUUUCAGAAUCAAUACCUCACGAUUAUAGACCUGAGCAGGGAACCAGAAUCUGCCAGUUUCAAGAGCAAGAUACCAAGACAUGAUUGAAUCAUCUGGCAAAGAACUCUGCCUACUACUAUCAUCAACCUUUGAUUUAAUCCACCAAAAUGGCCUAAUAAUUGAUAAAAUCCUCAUCAAACCUUUUGGCUUCCCUUGUUUUACAUGACUUGAAUCCUUUCUUGAAGCAAUAUGCCAUUGCCACUCUCUAUAGGCCGCAGGACCAAUAACUCUACCCCACUUUUUUUUCAUAUGCUUUUCCCAGAAAUGAUCACUAAUACACCUACUUCUCAAAGAGCUGCAAACACCUGCCAUACUACAGAGACCAGCAGGUGGUAGCUUUUCAAGAAUGCAUUCUAAGACCAAUUCUGGUAAGUCCAAAACUGACAUCACCCCUUCUUCAACCUCCUCAAAGUUAUCAACUUUUGAAGUAAAAGAUAUCUUUUUUAGAGACAUUUUGGAAGGGAUUGUGGUAAAAUAACUAAGACUAAGACUAUUUUUUAUCGACUUGGAAAUGGAAAAAAAGGGUACUUCUUUCCAGAACCAGAGAGACAAUAAUCUCAUCUCAGUUGCCCACGGUGGGAGUGGUUUCAAAGUUAAGGACUUCAAAAAGAAGAUGAAGGGAAAACAAGUGAUGAAGAAGUAAAGUAGCAUUCCAAAAUAUAGAAAAAAGGUGAAUUCUUUUUAUGGGUCCAAAUUCAAUUUAUCUAAGGCAAAAAGGAAAAAAAAAAAUCAAUGGAAGAACCCAAUUGUCUCUCCCAUUCUCUCACCCUUCCCUUCAAAAACAAAGUGGGAUCUUCAACACAACAGGAGGAAUACCCAACUUCGAUGAAAAACAAAGGGGGUUUUGUUGGUUAAUAUGAAAGCCCACCAAACCCCAGAGGUGGGCCUCCCUUGUCAAGGUCUUAUCAGAAUAAAGAUUAGUAAUAUAAGAAGAAAAAAAAUUUUCUGUUUCUUUUUUAACAAAGUUUGAUAACAAAAAAUUACCUCAACCAAUCCAAAGGCCUAAAAGAAAGCUAACAAAGCUUCCUCCUUCCUUUAUUUUCCACAAGAAAAGAACUCAACCGUACAGACAGCCUAAACAGCUGUCAUGUAAUAAGAAUGAGGUUUAGUGGACGCACCCAGAAACAGGUAGAUGAAGGAAGAUGGUGGUGGGGUUACUGAGAUCUGAUAUGGGUUUGUGACACCUGGAAAUUCUCCCCCCAAAGAAUAUUUAUUGAAGAUAACAAGUCUAGAUACAAAGACCCAUAUCCAUAUGAUCUCUGGAAAACCUUUCCUUUGUUUAUGUACAAAACAAAAACAUAAACAUUAAAAAACCUUUUCUUUUUCUUUUGAAGAUAAUAAGGUGAGAAAGAAAACAAACAACAAAUCUGGGUUAGUUGGGAUUGAAAGAAAAGACACCCGAACCAAAGGAAAGAGAUUGAGAAAUUUGAUGAAUUCACCUUAGUUCAUCAAAUUUCUCUUAUCUCCUUUUCUUCUUUUUGUUUUCUCUGGGUACAAAAAAAUAGGGUGCGUAGGGAUGGCUAUAGGGAGACAAAGAAUGGGCGGUUAAGGUUUAAGGGGGGGAUAUUUAUUUGUGUGGAUAUUAAGAAGAAUAGUAGAGAAGUGCAAAAUUUUUAUGUUGCUAGCGUUAUUAAAAAAGAUUUUGGCUUUGCCUGUGUCUUGAUCAGGAGCUUUCAACAAGUUGGAGGAAAAUCCGUGUAGCCAGAAAAAGCAACCGCUAGGAUAACGUAUGAAAGGAAUCAUUGAUAUAUUAUAGCGGUGAAAAGGUUUGGGAUAUGUUCCAGUAGGCCAUCCGCCUAUUCAGUUUAGGUACUUAGAACCACUGAUUUAACACUACCUGGCAGUUGAGGAUUGGAGGAUGGUGACCCCAUGACAAUUCAAUCCCAUACAAGAAUUCUCAAGUAGAUUUAAUUGUGUUACUAUCAACUUUUCCCUCCUUUUAACCUAGGCUUUUAGUGCCUGCUCUACUCUUCAUUUUUUGAAAGGCAAAAGGAAGCCUAUACUACUCAUUUAUUAUAGUAAUAAUUAAUUACCGAGUUUGAUGUAGUUUUUUAACCUUAUUCCCAAUUUUAGAAGUUGAUUUAGAGCUCAUUAAUUUACAGGUUAAAUACCUUAAUUAUGGAUACCUAAUUUACAAUAUUUUUAACAAAAUUUCUCUUAAAUACUUUUUUUUUCAUCUAGAAAUUUAUUGGGUUUUUUAAACUAGAUAAUAAAACCUAACUCUUAGUCAUUUUAUUAAACCUUUUUAUUCGAUUGAAAGGGUAACUUAAACUCCAAAUUAAAAUACUUUUGUCAAUUUGACAAUUUUAUCAAUUGAAAUUUUAUAUAAAAGAGAGUUGAGGCACUUCAUUAUUUUGAUUAAAAUUUUAUGACUUGAGACACGAAAAAAAGUUAAAACAUCACAUAAGUGUCAUCGUUAGGGAUUUUCACGAGUAGAGUUACUUGUUUGAAACUCGGGGGCCCAGCUUGUCAUGAACAGGACUUGAGUAUAGAAUUGUAAGCUUGAUUUCGCCAUAAUUCAAUUAUCUUAUUUAAUUAAUAUAUAUAUUUGCUAAGAAGGCAAAUAAGUAGCACAUGAGUAAUUGAGUUAGCACCUAAUUCUGAUUAAUUAUAUUUUCCACAUGAUUUAAACCCUUGCAUUGCUGACUGACAUCACACAGCGGGCUGCAUCAAAUUAUUUUAAUUUAAUGUGGGCGGUGCGGAGCUCGGACCAAUGAUGAGGGUAAAAAUCAAACAAGGGUAGGCCUAAGGUGAGGUCAAAUGGCACUGGGAACUGGGAAAGGACAGUUGAGUCCAUCAAUAAGGGCUAAUUUUGUAUCACUAGCUGGUGGGCUAACACGUGACUUGCACGUGCAUGUUGCUUUUCGAUCUCCAAAUGAAAGGGAGUUCCAAUUUCCAAGGUAAUAUAAUAAUUUUUUUUUUUUACGUUUCUUUCUAUCGAUCUGAACGGCACAAGGACAACAAUAUUUUUCAUUUUCAAUUAUAGUCCAAGCAAAAUUGUUACAAAAAUAUUAAACACUCUGAAAAGUUUUUAUGAAUUUAAUUACAUGUACAUAUUUAAAUAGAAUUGUGUGUAUUGACUAAGACAUAAAUUUUAUAAUUACUAUUAAAUAUGAAAAAAAAAUCGAUUUAGAAACUUCCACUUAUUGAUUUUUUUAUUCUUAAUCUACAAGUAAUUUGGGGUUUUGACCCUAACAAUCCUUAGAUUGCUGCCCUUUAAAUCAUUUUUUCUUUUUUGAUUCUUAAUGUUGACAGCUUCAUCUGAUUUUAUAGGAGUCGAUUAUGGGUUUUUUUCAACUCAAUAUUAAAAGAGUUGACCUCAAUAUCAGAGACAAGGGAAAAAAAAGCCUCAGAACCAAGAAAUUGCUGGAACAAAGUUGGGCAUGAAAAGUAAAAAAUCAAUCCACGCAUGAGGCCAAAUCCAACCGACAAUUUGAACAAAAUUAAAUUUAUAGUAAUAAUAGUAACUCUUUUGGUUGGUUUGGCGGUGGCAGCUCUGUCAAGCCUUGAUAAAGUUUGUUUGAUGCAUAUAUCAACAAGGAGUUGAAAAAGAAUCUGAUUGAAGGCCCUUAAUUAGGAUUACAAUAAGGCUAGAAUAUAUAUCAAUUUUAGGUUGAUUUAAUUGGUUAAACGGUUUUAAAUUUGAAUGUUACAAUUUAAUGAAAGAAGCCCUUAAUUAUUAAUUUCUAUAUCUUAAUUUUAAGGUUAUAAGGUUGGUGCAUACAAUUGGUUUUGGCCAAUGGCAACCCAUACUUGACUACUCUUUCUGCAACAAACUAACAAAAAUAAAAAAUAGAUAAUCAUUAGACAUAAAGAAUUUGGAUCUCAAAUGUUGAUUAUUGAGUAUGGAGGUCAAUAAUGGUGGGUUAGAAAGUAGAUAAGGAUUUUCGGCCUACUCCAUGACUAGUUCAAGGAAAGAGGUCCUAACAUUUUCAUUGGUUGGUGUAGUGAGGCAACGUGUAUCCAAAUCAAAUUGUUUUGUGAUUUUUUUUAUAUUAAAAAAAAUCCUCCCAAUAAGCAAUCACUUGAGACAAUAAAAUUAUGGUUGCAAAAGUCAUGAUAGGUAAAGAAAUAUAUAUAUAAUUUAUUUAUUUAUUUAUUAGUUGAUAUCAUAUGGGGGGCAUUGGAAUGGUGGGGUGGGAAAUAAAAAGAUUUUGAGACCAACAACUUUUUGGGAAAAUGGCAUUUGUCAAUUGUCAUACACAGAAAACUAUAUGAAUCUUAUCUUAAUGUAUUAUGCUUUGUUUAACAUUAUACAUAUAAGGCCAUAUUUGAUUGGGGGUAAUGCAUUUGGACUUUACUCUGUUAAUUCGGGAUCAUUGCUAUAGAGUGGUAACUGAUUGUUAAAUGGUCUAAAUUCAAAAGACAGAGAUAAUAGCAUUAUGUGUAGAUAUUACAAAUUUUAAAGGUUAAGAUUUAAUGUCUAAUUUGCACACCAUUUGAGUAUAUAUAUAUAUAUAUAUACUUUUUAGCAUUUUUCAUUCUAAAUAUUAUCCAUAUUAUUGCAAUGGGUAAACCACAUACCUAGCGAGCCAAAUGCUAUCUUUAAGAAGAGACUCGAAUUUCCCCUUAUCUUUCUUGAUGUCAACCAAAUAAAUCCAAGCAUCUUGAUUGGUGAUGUUAAGCUUGACUCUUGCAUAUUAGGACCAAAUAUGAGAUAUCAACAUGGUCUGUUGCUGUAAAAUGUGGGUGUAUGAAAAGUAAAAAAAAAAAAAAAUCAAUAGAAAUGGCUUAAAGGUGAGCUAUAAAAUGUCGCUUUCUUUUAAGUUUAUUUCUCCCAUUAAUUAUAGUGUACAACAGGUUUAAUCAAGUACCCUUAGUAUGCAAUGAAACUUUAUUUGACUACAUCUGCACUAAUGAAAUCAAAUCACUUACAUUUUUUAACGAAAGGCGAAAUUAUCAGUCUUGUACAAGAUUUUCUACAGGCAAGCAGCAUAUAAGGGAUGAUUUAACUUUUCAGAGAUUGUUCUAUGAUAAAGUGUUUUGGAAAGUUUUUUACCUUGGUUGUUUAUGUUGAGAAUGACAUAAUCAGAUUAAGCGCAGUGGAAUGAAAUAAAAAAGUUAUAAAAAAAAAGUAAAAACAUUCAGCACUUACCAUGAAUCUCCUUAAUGAUUUUAAUACAAAUAAAACAAGAAGAGAGGAAUAAUCAUAAAAAUGAAAUUACCUUUACUAAGUGAUAUAACUAUCAUGAUGGUACUUCUUCCUUGUCCAACUUGUGAACAUCAUAAAGGGAGCAAAGAACCUAAGCUACUCAAAUGCUUGGCUUCAAACGAUUGCACAUACGGUUGCACUUGAACUUUCACACAGAAGGAGCUUUCUCAAAUAUGCCUUUGUGCUAGUAAGGUGGACAACAGCUUGUUCUCUCCAUACAAUCACACUCUUUCUAGUCGAAUCACAAAAUUGAAAAACUAUUUUUCUAGGUCACUCAAGAAAGUGUGUGGUUAGGCUUUUCUUGUUAGUUUUCUAACAACUCAAAAAGCCUAACUUUUGUGUUUUAUUUGUGUAAUGAGGAGUAGUUGAAAAGUGAUAUUUAUAUCUAAGUCAAUUAACUUCUUAAAUUGUAAAUAAAGCCUCAAUAUUAUAACAUUUUAUAAUAUUGGUCUAACACUUAAUUAAAUCUUUUUAAUUAAGUCAUUGUAAAUUAAAAUUAAAUUAAAUUUACUUUAUUUGUUUGCAAUUAAGGUUUUAAUAUUAUAACUAAUUAUAAUAUUGGCCUUAUACUUAAUUAAAGUAUUUUAAUUAAGUCUUUUGAAGUUAAAAACCUAGUUUAUGAUUUAAGUCCAACUUAAUCAUCACACUCCUAAUUUAAUUCAUAAUACAACAUAUUUUGUGUUACCCAUCAAGUUCCUAACAUGUUGGUAAUAUAAUUGAAUUACAAUUUUUAUUAAAUUAAUCAAUUCAAUUCCAUAGACCAAGAUUGAUAUCUAGCAAUCGAUCAUGGCCAUUCAAUUGUUAGAAGAGUCAAAAGGUUCUUUAACAAUCUUUCAUUGUACAGUUUAUUAGUGUAAUUCAUUCUCUCAUUAUUUAUCCCAGAAAUGAUAAGAGCAUGGUGCAGUGUUUACUUUUAUUAAUAUCCAUAUUUGUUUUUGAAGUUAGAUUAUUAGUUUUAUAGAGACUUAUGAAACUCUGUUUCAUAAUUUCCAAGUCACCUUGGCAAGUACUUCAACAAGUUAAUAUCAACCAAGAAUUGUUAAGAUAUGUCCCCUAAAUCACUUGGGGUGUGAUUCAUUUCUUGACCACUCAUUUGCCUUCACAUACUUUGUCGUACAACCAACCAUACCCUAUUUUAGCAUCCUUAGUAAGACCUGUAGGGAUAUGAUCAAAUAUAUAACAUUCUGCAUAUAAGAUAACUUGGCGUCUCAAGUCUAAGGAGUAUUUACAUGACCAACACUUGACAAAUAUUUGUAUAGACAUUAGAGUGAGUUACUAAAUGCAUUUCUCAUGUCGGGUCAUAUUCAGUGAACUUAUUCAUAGAAUAAUCACCUGCAUUCUAGUUUCAAGUAUCUUUGUACUUCAAUAUAUGAGAUCGGUUACUUACUUCCUAAAUAAAAAAUAUAGAAUUCACCAAUCUCUAAGCAUAAUUGAUGUCUAGUCUCAAUAAUACAUCGAUCAUGAACAUUUAGAGAUUAUGUUUUAAUGCAUAAGAUUUCAUAAUUGUAAUCCAUUACAAUUUUUUUGCAAGGCAUAUUAGUCUCAUGGACUUCAUCCAAUAGACUUAUAACCUUUAUAAUUAAUGCCUUAUUGAUAAAUGAAAACCUUUAAUCAUUCAAUAUGAAUGAUAUGAUUACAUGUCUGGAACUAAGUCUUAAUCAAUCUCAAUUGACUGUAGGGUUCAUUCUGACAAUUUUUUUUAUAUAAAUUUUCUUCAACAAACACAUCUCUUUCUGUUACCCUUUAUGAAAGAAAGAUGACCUUUAGAAAAGGUUUGAACACUUAAAAAUAGGAUUAGUCAUUAUAGAUUAAAAUUUCAAUUUCUACCUAGUUAAUCACCUAAUUUAUGAAGUUAGUUUGACUAAAUCACUCUAAUAGUAAAUUUGUAGAUUUGAGUUUUAGCUUUUUGUCUAUUAACAUAUUGAACAUAUCUUUGUUUCACUUUUUUCUAUUUUAUUUGAAUAUUGAUUGACUAAUCUUACGACCUAACCAAUUAACCUUACCUUUCCUUCGUUUCAUUUUAAAAAUUUCCCAACAAUCUACCAUUAUUUUAAAAAUAAAAUAAAAUCCAAUAAUCUUAAAAGUCUUAUGCAUAAAUGAAUUUCCAUUUAAAACCUCCACCCUAGUGAAAGUGUUUUCGAACUAAUCAAAAUUGUAUAGUAAACUUUAAAUCUUUGAAUUAACAAUUUUAUAUAAUUGGUUGUGCAUUAAUCACGAACAAAAUUUCAAAACUCAUCAAAAAAUAGUUUAGAAUCCACUAACAGUAUUGCUCGACCAUGUGUUAUUAGUUCUAUAAGAAUCAAUUGCCCUUUAACUUCUUGAAGUGACAUCACUUCCACUGGUAUGGGUGAACUCCAUAGGAAGUGCCCUUGUAACAAGCACUUCAACAUAUUUUGUUAUCGUUAUCGGUUCAUUAAGAAUAUUAUACUUAACCAUCUUUUCUUUGCAUAUGGGUAUCAAGUACUAAAGCUUUACACCCGAGAUGGAUCAAUGGAUUACAGUGAUUGCAGCCACAUUCAUGUGAUGUGCUUUGACUCAUUAAGAUUUAAGAUUUAAUGUCUUUUUAAGUUAAAGUUGCACCAUGCGCGGGCUUGAGUCUCAUUCCCUUAAGAAGUUCUAGACACCGCUUCUCUUGCAAGUCUUUUAGUCAAAGGAUCUACCAAUUUUUACUUUAGGUGAUAAAAAUUCCCUUAGCAAAAUUGCUAGACAAGAACCUUUUGGUACUUUAAGCUUAACAUAUUAUCUAUAUAUAAGUAAAUGAUGACAGUAACAAAAUCAAACCACUAAACAUUUCUUAACAAGAGAUAAAAUUAUAAAUCUUAUACAAAAUUUUUUGUAAGCGAAUGGUGUAUAAAAGAUGGUUUUAUCUUUUAGAGAAGAAGAGGAUUGUUAUUCUAGUUUUAAAAAGUGCUUUGAAAAGUUCUCUGUCUUGGUUAUUUAUAAAGAUUAAAUAUUUUUAAGAGACACAUCUCUUUAAUUAGUGGUUAUCGACACAUCUCUUUAAUUCUCAUUUCAUUUCCUAAGGUGCAAUUAUUCCUUUUCUGUGGUGGUGCUUCAAAUCCGUUGGUUCACGCCAUCCUCUUUUUCUCUCUCUCCGUAGACUAUGGAGCAAAUAGCACAAAGAUUUUUUAACACACACACAAAAAAAAAAAAAAAAGAAAAAGAAAAGAAAAGAAGAAGCGUUUAACAUCACAUAGGCAAAUUCUUUUUGGUUACUUUAGGAUUUUCGAUAAGGUACUCAAUCUUUUGAUUCUUUGUCUCCUAAAGUUUAAGCAUAUCAUGCAUCAUCCUCCAUCAACUUUUCCAUUUCCCUCUCCCCUCCCCCCCCCCCCCCCCCCCCACCUUAUUCCAUCACAACAAAUAAACGCAUCUAAUUGAACCGAAUGGAUUGGGGUUCGGUGGGUGGCUAUGCCAAACCCAAUUUGGUUGCUCCAUAUAUAUAUAUAUGUCAACUUUAUUUUAUUUUCAUUUCAUCGUUUCUUUUUCUUUUCUUUAAUUAAGUUUUGUUUCAAGGUUGGUCAAAUCUUGAGCGCCGUUGGCUCCCUUGUUCGUUAGGCGCUUGUUAUUUGACUACCAUCAGAGCUGUCUUACUUGGCCAUUUGACUACAAACAUUAGUGGUUUAAUUUACUUCGGAUAGCCUCUCUAGUAGUAGGGUUAUGCAAAGCAUGUUCUUAUAUUAUUCUUUAUUUUUCACAUGUAACUUAGAAUUUUAUGGUUCUUCCUCGACAACUUAUUAUAUAUAUAUAUAUAUAAAAGUUCUCAAAAUAUUAAGCUUUAUUUUUAACUUUUUAUUAAAUACUUGAGUUACACGGUAAAGUGAUUGACAGUAAUCCUCUCUCAUCUUCAGAGUUUCACUAUUUUCUCAAAUAAAUUUGAAAUUUUCAAAUUGAUAAACAUAUAUAUAUAUAUUUAAAACUUAUUUGCAAAGUUAAAAUCUACUUCUUUUAAAUUUUUAAAUUGAACGUGAUUAAAUUAGGUCAUAUUAAGAAUCGAUCAAGUGAAACCCAAUUUUAAUUUAAAAAGUAUGAAUACUCACCAUAAGUGAGUUCUCUCUCUUCCUCUCAAAUGUAUUUUUAUUGUUCUUUUUUCUUUAAAAUGUUGGUCAAAUGUUGAGCACCACGGUUCUUGAAUUUGACUAGAGAUGGCUUAAUUUUUGAAACGUGACUAUAAAUUGGUUCUUUUAUGUUUUUAUUUUUUGGAUAGAUUAAUUAAUUGUUUAAGUAAUCAAUUUCCAUUAUCAUAUAACCUAAAAGUAUAUUUAUUUUUUUAUAAUUUGACUUUGAUUGGUGAAGUCAAAACCAUUUGUAUAACCUAAAACUAAUUAAUGGACCUCCAUAUUAAAUAAAAAAACAUUAUCAAGGUAUAAGGGUUUUAUUUUUAUUUUUAUUUUUUGACUUCCCUCUCGAUUUUGACUUAGAUUGUCAAAAUCAUCUCAUUUGAAUUUAAAAUAAAUUUAUUUUAAUAUUUUAGUAUACGACUUAAUGAUAAGUGUAUGUGUUCUUUUACUUAAAGAAUUGAAUCCAAAUAUUCCUUUCUCCAAAUGACAAUAAAAAAGAUGAGCAUCUUAAGUCAUUUCACAAAUAGAUUAAGUGAAACCCAUGCUGAAUUUCUGUAAUUUAUCCUUGCAUGGACCUCAAUCUCAAAUGACAUAAAUAACCCUUUCUUUUGCAAAAAUAAAAUUUAUUUAUUUAUUUGUAUGUAAUAGAGGGUUGUAGCAGUUAAGAAUAUGAAGCAACUCUGGUAGAAAGAAAACUUGUGUCCAAUAUUUAACACAAAAAAAAAAACAGAAAAAUGCCAGUAUACAAAGUAAUGGAGGAGAGAAUAUGUAAAAGGUAGGAAAACUUUAGAAUUGAGAUAAUGGAGAAGAGGAAGAUGAGAGAAUGAAAGAUAAUGGGAGAAUUACUAAAGUAGUCUUAUCGGAGCCAAAAGAGAACAGGAUGGUUCAAGUGUACUGGCCGGGUCAACAAAAUCCAAUUGCAUUGCAUUUGUAGUUGAAUAUAUUUCGGUUAUUUAUUACCCUUCCUAGUCUUCCUUCAAUUUUUCCAUUAUACCAAAGAACUGUUUAAUAAUAAUAAUAAUUAUUAUUAUUAUUAUUAUUAUUAAGAUGAUUAUACAAAUUCAGUAAUUUAAUUAUACAGUUAGAAUACAAUACUAUUGGUACGUUAAUUAGUUAGUUAGAUUAAAAUUAUUAGCUAGUAAGCUAGUUAGACUACAAUACUAUUGAUUAAAUUACAGUGUUAUUAGUUUGUUCGUUAGUUAAUUAAAUUACAACAGUUAAUUAAUUGAGUAGUUAGAUUAAAAGACUAUUAACUAAUUAAAAUUAAAUUAUAAAUAAAAAUAAUUAUAUAUAUACAUCAUAAACAGAUAAUCAAACUCAAUUUUAAUGUUAGAUAGUAUUAUUAAUCAGACUAACUUUAAAGAGUGCAUUAAGACAUUUGUUAGAAAAAUCCAUGAUAAGAGAUGAACACGAUUGACCCAAAGACCCAAAUGACCACCAGGCACACAGAACAAAAAGCCACCAAGGUUUCCUUACCCAUUGUCUUAAGACUACGUGUCCACCCAAGCCCAAGCUUUCCAAACUAAAUUAUAUAAUUGGCUGGGCCUUGGCUCAGCUUCUGUCCCCUUCCUGCUACCCAUAAUUAAUAAGAUUUUCGAUCUUUCCAUUGUCCUUCCUUAGCACCCGUCUUGGAGGGCGAAGCUAGGAUAUUCGCCCUAGGGGUUGUGUUAAAAAUGAACAUAAAAGUAAAAUAAUAGUACAAAAAAUUAGUAUAUAAUUAAUGAUAUGAAAGAGUAUGCCAUAUUUGAAUGAAUUAGUAAUGUGAUUGAAUAAAUACAUAUAAAGGAUGUAAUGAAAAAAAUAACGUUAAAUUAAUAAUUUCUUCUUUAAAGAUAGAAGAACUAAAGCCUGAUUUAGUAGGUAUCAAAUAAAUGACAAAAAAAAAAAAUGUUAAGCACUUGCAGAGCCUAGCCAUUGGAUAAGAUUAGUAUAUUCUUGGUCACACAAAGGGUUAGAAUGGAAUCCCCUUUCCUUGAUUAAUAGAAGCUGACAAGCUAAAGAUCACUUGAUAAAAGGAAAUCCUAGAGUUUUAGUGAAAAUGGAGGUUUAGGUAAUGGGAAAGGCUUAUAUCUAAUUAAGCCAUUCCGACCAUUCAAAGCGAAUAUUAAAGUUAAGCUUGGAAAGAUGAGGAGGACUAAAAUUAUAUUUUAUUUUUAAUUUUAAAAAAUAUUAUAUUAUAUUAUGUUUUGGUGGCCUAACAAUCACACUAUAUUAGUAUCUUUGGUAGGAGGGGAAAGAAAACACAUGAAGAAAGAAAAUUGGGAGGGAGGAAAAACAAAAAAUUAAGUACAAGAUCAUUUGUAGACCUCGUCUAUGGGAGGUGUACGGGUUUUGGACUUCAUUUUUUUACGUUAGAACUCAGCCCAAAAACAUUAAAUAUUAAUAAUUAAUAUAUUUAAAAUUAUUAAAAGUAUCAAUAUAAGAUACUAUUUAUAUAAUAACUAAUUUAAAUGGUACGGUCGACUUGAUAUUUGAAUUUUUUAAGUUAACCAAGUGUAACCCAUGAAUACCUUUAUUAAUUUUCAUUUUGCUAUUUAUUGAGGAUUCAAAAUGAAAUGAAAAAAAAUACAAUUAAUGGUAAAAUCCAUGAAUAUCCUCUUUCAAUUGUUUGAAAGAAUUGGAUUUUUGGACAUAGAAAUCAGCAAAUCCCUCUAUUCUGUUUUGUUUUCCUUCUUUGUUCUUUUUAUUUUAUAUUAAUGAGCAGUAGAAAAUAGAGAAAAUUGUGAGAAAUGGAUCUCUUGAUAAGGUGAUUUUAAAAAUAACCACUCAUAUAAAUUUAUCUGUUUAUAGCAAAAAAUAAGCAUGAGUAGACCAAAAUGCCCUUAAAAACAUCGUUCAAAUUAGGAUCUCGAUAUCUCCCUCUCGCUAGAUAGAAAUAAAAAUAAAUAAAUAAAUGCUCAGCUGUUUGAGCUCGCUCAUCUUUCUUUCUUAGCCCUAUGAACUAUUUCAACUCUGUCAACUCUCUGUUGAGCACCAUGGUCAUCAACUCUCUUAGCUCUCUGAAUUGUAUGAGCUCCGUCAACUCUUUGUUGAUCACCAUCGUCAUCGGGCUAUGGCCUAUCUCUCGGCAUCUGGCCACAGUGUCGUAGAUUAACAGACCCUAUAGUAGAGAUGACAUCAAGAUAUGUUAUUCGGUUUAUUGCUGCAACACUUAAAUUUCUGAAACAUUUGGUGUAAAUUAGAAUAUGGAUUAGAAACAUUGCCCAUAGUUGUUACACGCCAUGCAUCUAUAAUAUGUGCUAGCGUUAUUUUAGCGUGUCACGAUAUUGGUUAUUUUAGGGGCCCGGUAGACACACGACAUUCACAGAAUAGUUGGUUGCACAAUUUCGAUCAGGAUGUGCAUUGAAUCAAUUAGUUACUUGUGUCCAACAAAUGCAAUGAUCGGGUGAAACUGUACAGGGUGUAAUGACAUUUUUAAAUGAGAAUGCAACACUUGAGGACAACACUGCAACGUUGGUGGGUGACACUGCGACUCUCGAGGAUAAUACUACAUCUGAUGAGGGAAAUGAGGAUUUGUUCCCUACCGAUUAAGAUAGAUUUGAUGACAAUUCGGAUGAUGGGCCUGAUGAAUGGCAUGAUGAGAGUUCAGACGAGGAUUGUCUUUAUGAUAGUGACAUUCUAAUUUGCAAUAAUGUUGAAGGUGAAAUAGAACCUGUUGGAGGUGUUGAUGUAAGAGAUGUUCAGUGUGAUGAACCCAUAUACAAUAAUCCCAUCGCUGAUGAGAACGGGAUAUAUUUUCCUGGUACAUUGCUCCAUGAUAGUUACCAAGAAAGGAAAAAUGGAAGGAUAUAUCGUACGUGGGUAAUUCUAGGUGCAGAAAGGUUAUCCUUUCAAACAAUUACAACUAAGGAGUCGACAUGUGCCAAUGAUCCCUUAUACAGAGGAAGAACAUUUUCCUCGAAGGUCGAGUUAAAACAAGUUUUGAAUAUGUUGGCUCUAAAAGAGCAGUUUGGGAUAAGAGUAAAAAGGUCAUGUAAAGCUUGUUAUGAGGUUGGUUGCAAGGACAAGGCUUGCAAGUUCAGUGUGCAUGCAACGAAGUUACCUAAAGGAAGAGAAUAUUGGCAAGUUCGGACAUUCCACAAAGUACACACGUGUACUGUCGAUGGUUUACAAGGGCGAUUUGCAAUCGCGAGUGCGAAGAUAAUUGGUGAACUUAUGUCACACAAGCUUCAGGCUAAUGGAGUAGCAUUGAGACCUAAAGACAUAAUUGGUGAGAUGAGGGUUCAAUGGGGAUUGGAAUGCCUGUGUGGUAAGGCCUAGCAAGCGAAAGAGUAUGCGGAGAGGCUUGUUUUCGAUCCUCUGGAGGAGUCAUUUCAACUACUACUCUCGUAUUUUUAUAUGUUGGAACAAGAAAAUCCUGACACAGUCACUAUAGUAGCUACUGAUGAGGCAGAAAGAUUCAAAUAUUCUUUUGGGGCAUACGGGGCUUGUAUUCGGGGGUUUAGAAAUGUAAUGCAUCCUACAGUUGCAAUUGAUGCAACACAUCUGAAAGACAAGUUCAAGGGUGUGCUGUUUGUCUCUAUAUGUAAAUAUGCGAACGAGUGCAUAUAUCUAGUUGUGUUUGGCAUCGGCCAUGUUGAGGAUGAAGACUUGUGGAUGUGGUUUCUUAGCAAGCUGCGUGAUGCGGUUGAUUGUCUUGAAAACACUAUGUUCAUUUUUGAUCAGUAUCUUAACAUUAAAAAAAUAAUCCAAAAUGCAUACCCAGAAGCGCACCACUAUUUAUACGGGUACCACUUGAAGAAAAACUUUAAAAACAAGUUCAAGCACGACGACGUUUCUAUAAUUUUCACCCUUGCUCAAGAUUGCUAUAAGGUUUUCGAUUUCAACAGACAUAUGAACCAGCUCAAGCAAAUUCAUGUAGGAGCCCACGCUGACCUUAUAAGAAUAGGGCCUAAGAGAUGGGCACGUGCUUGUUCACCGACAAGGCGAUACCAAAUGAUAACAUCUAACAUUGCAGAAUGUGUUAACUCAUGCUUGCAGUAUGCAAGACAAAUACCAAUCACUGUUUUGAUCAAGUUCAUCAGAGACAUGUUCCAACGGUGGUUCCAUGACUGAUACGAGGAGGCCAUCAAGGUUACCACACCCCUCAGCCUUUGAGUUGCCAGGCAGUUGAGCAAAUGGUUCAAUGAUGAACAUUGCUUUGUGGUUAAACCUAUCAAUUGAGUGGAGUUCGAAGUUAAAGACAGAAAGAUGGAUGAACUUGUAAACUCGUCCAUGAAGACAUGUUCAUGUUGUGAGUUCCAAACAGAUUUACUGCCUUGCAGCCAUGCCAUUGCAGCAAUAAGGUUAGAAUAUCUUUAUUUCUUAUUUGAACCCUAAUUGACAUAGUAUUUACAUUGUGCUUGAACAUUGAGAUCAUUGUAUGUUUCAGUAAAUGCAAACGUGAAGCCAUUGAAUUCUACGCUGACUACUACAAGACAACCAUUUUUGUGGAGGGUUAUGCAGGGUCAAUUCGCCAGGUAGGGCAUCCCAGUGAAUGGGAUAUUCUCUUUCAUGUGAAACAAAUUGUUGUCUUACCACCACCUUGGCGAGGCCAAGCGGGAAGACCUAGGAAGAGAAGGAUUCCAUUGGUCGAUGAAGGUAGUUGAGCAUGGAGAUGUUCGCAAUGCAAGAGGUAUGGGCAUAAUAGACAGAAUUGCCCAUCCCCAUUUGUAGUUCCAUCCACAAAUCCAACACCAUCUCCAAGUCAAUCGAUGCCUCCAAGAGUGUGUCGAUCGAAAGCAUGUUCAAGUUGCAGACAAACCGGUCACACACGCAACAACUGUCCAAUACGAAGGACAAUGUCUGAAAACUUAAGGUGUUUUGUGGAUGAAGACAGCUUGUCGGCCUAGCUAAAUGUGUAACCCUGGUGCAAUACCUUUGUCACAAUUUGCUCUUGCAGUAUCUUACAUUCAUUCAUAUUUGGAUUUUAUGUUUGUUAGUUUUCUUUUGUAGAUGAGUCUUUAUUUAUUUUUAUUAAUUUUGUAGAUAUAUUAUUUGAUUAUUAAUUUCAUUUUAUCCGUAGUUUUGAACACUAAAUAAACUUGCGAAGUCCCUGUACUGUUACCCAUUUUCUCACAUUUUAUUACCACUUGUAUUAAAUAAUUAAUUAUUUAAUUUAAUUCCUUUCUAUUUCAUUUGAUUUAACCUUUUAUGUUCUUACAAUCAAAUCUCUUACAAUCUAUAAAAUUAAUUCAUCUAACUUUAGUAGCUUUCUAAAUCCUAAUAUUCAAUUUGUUUUUGUAAUUUUUUAAUUACAACAUUUAUUUUAUCUUAUUAAUACCUCUAUAUAAAACUUUAAGCUAAUCACUUAAGAAAAUAAUAAUAAUAUUGUACGAAGGAGUUUACUUCAAAGGAUGCAAGUAUGGAAAGAGAAAAUUUUGGACUAAUUAAAAACAUAUCAUAUGAAAUUUAAGAUUAAAACACAUGACUUAACCAAACAAAUUUAAAAAAUUUAUGGAUCAUCCAAUCAAAUUUCAUCUAUGAAUCAUCAUAAUUAUUUUUUAUUAAAUAAAAAUAUUUAAAAAAAAUUGAAAUAUAAGGAUGAAAAUUCCUCAAAAAUAUAUUAUGCUAAGCUAAUAAAAGAAAUGCCACGUGGCAUUUUUUAUCAUCUGGUGUGGGGGUUGAGAACAUUGUAAUUGGUAAAUGUCAAUCAGAUCUUAUGGUGACAUGCUGAGUGGAAGCAAAUAGUUGGCGUGACAUACUGAGUGCAUGCAGAUUUUGGUGGUGACACGUUGACUUCUUGCAGUAUUGUGGGGUGACACGACAUGCCCCAUCUUGUGGUGACAUUCUAAGUGGAAGCAGAUAGUUGACGUGACACGCUGAGUGCAUGUAGAUUUCGGUGGUGACAGGCUGACUUCUUACAGUAUUGUGGGGUGACACGGCACGCCCAAUCUUGUGGUGACACGCUGAGUGGAACCAGAUAUUGGUGUGACACGCUAAGUGCAUGCAGAUUUCGGUGGUGACAUGUUGACUUCUUGUAGUAUUGUGGGGUGACACGCUGAGUGGAACUAGAUAGUUGGCGUGACACGCUGAGUGCAUGUAGAUUUCGGUGGUGACACGCUAACUUCUUGCAAUACUGUGGGGUGACAUGACAUGCUCUAUCUUGUGGUGACAUGCUAAGUGGAACUAGAUACUUGGCGUGACACACUGAGUGCAUGCAAAUUCUGGGGGUGAUAAGUUGACUUCUUGCAGCAUUGUGGGGUGGCACGGCACGCCCCAUCUUGUGGUGACACGCUAAGUGGAACCAGAUACUUGGUGUGACACUCUGACUUAUUCUAAUUUUUAGAGGUGACACGCCAUGUCCCAAUGGGGUGACACGCCACGUGGUUGCAGUAUUAAUUUCAAGGCACUAUGUUUGAAUUGAGAAAGAAAAAGUAAUGUAUAAAAUGUAUGAAUAUUAAAAUUAAUUGUAUAUAAAAAAAUAUAGACAAAGGUCGAUAUGUUCAGGGUUCGCUCUCACAACUGUUGGAAAAAAUUUCUAGAAUGUAUUGGCGACGCAUAUUUGCAAUCAUAUUUUGCUUAACUCUGAUUGAUUCCGAUUGUAAAAUAUCGCCAAUGUACCCUAUCAUGAACAUGCCGCAGCUAGCACUAUCAUUCUGCUGAUGCACUUUAGCUUUUGGCAAAUGAAUUUUCAAUGGCAUCGGUGUCAAAUCCAAUGUUUUUCAACGUGUUUUGUUGAAAUAACCAGCUUGGUGGCAGGUGAUUGGCCUAAUUGUCUUAAGGGGUGUCAUCUGAGUUGCUCGCACUCCGUUAUCCUUAGCAUCCGAAGUUCUUACGGAGUCCACUACCUUGAUCGUCCACCUCACCAAGUCGAUCUUCGCUACCACCCAAUGUCCACCCACAUUGCGAGGCGUGAGGAUGAAAUCGACAUCUUCCCAUUUUUUGCAGUAUGUUGGCUUAUCACCCUCCACGUACGCCCGUAACUUAUCUGGAAUAUCCAUACUCGACAGAGCAUUUUCAAUUGAAAAUGAGGUGUGUAGCAUAUGGAUGGUAUCUUGUGAAGCAUGUAUACAUUAGCUUGCACUUAAUGCAACAAAAAACUUAGUAUUUUCAAAAUUGAAAAAUUUUCAAAUUAAUUUACGAAGAAUAUCGUGUCAACCUCGCAUGCAUGGGUAGUGUACAACUUUGACUUCGGCCCUGUCAUCGGCUUACAAAGUACGUUGAGGCAUGCGUCUAUAUGUUCACUACUCAUUUCUUCUUUGGGAUCGUCUAAUGUUGUGAAAAAGUUAGCCCCUUGAUCCUCUAAAAUCCCGACAUUACACCUGCAUAUGUAAUAGAAUGAGUUAGAAAAGCCUUGGUGAAUUAAUGUUUCAUUAAAAAACAAUAUUUGCAAUGUUAUUUAUGUGCUUACAUCGCGCACUCAUUUUUCUUGAAAGCUUCGUAUGCUUCGACCAUUGUGCUCUUUAUAUCCCAACAACUCAUUGAGGGGUCGGCGUACGGGGUUACUCUGUAUUUGCAUGCGAUUUUCACCCGUGCCAGCUCAAUUGGGUCUGAAAUUUAUGCUACAUGAUGAUGGACAUCAGAUGACUCUGAUGACGGCAACCGUGAGCCGUUGGCUUCAAGAGUGCUCUGAGGAAGAUGGUCCCCUCCUGCUGCUGCCUCUAUUAAUGCAUCGACCUACGAAAGAUGGUCCCCUCUUUCUGUUGCCUUGACUAAUGCAUCGGCUAGAGGAAGAUGCUCUCCUUCAGCCACCAUUGAGUGAAGGUCCCCCUCCCCUCCCGCAGAUGCAUCGAUAACCGAAUCUGUCUCAAGAGUAGGGUUUUCUUCAGCGUCAUCUGUUUGAAGGGUCACAUCCCCUACCACAGCAUCAUCCGGAUCGGCCUCAAGAACAGGGUCUCCGUCAGCACCAGCAAUGUCAUCGUGAAUGUGCAAACUAGGUUUAUCAUGAUGCCCAUCAUCAGCAUCAUCAUGGUCCUUACCAACACCGUGAGAUGAAGGACCGCUCUACAGAAUGAGACAAAUGGAAAAAUUCGUUAGCUCAUAUAAUACCACAAACCAUAAACCAAAAACAAAAAAUAGAACUAUACCUACUAAAUGUAAACGACCAAUAUAUGAGCGAAGAUAGAAUAACGUAUCUAUGAUUUUAGGCCGUCUAGAAUCCGAGCAAUGACACUGUCCUUAAAAGUCUGCAUCGCUAGAGUUAACGACUGAAUUAAGGCCUUCAGCUUCGACAUGUCUUUUUUAUACUCGUGCAUGAUCCGUUGCAGCUGACUCUUCGUGACAACUCCGUCAUUGACUCUUGUCGAAUGGGUCAACUAUAAUAACAUAUAUUAUUGUGUUAUUCAAUAAUCAUAUAUGAAAUUGUUGAACAUUACCCGUUAGAACUUUAAUAUUCUUAUCGGCAGCUUAUUACCAUUUUACAGUUGAGCAGGAUCGAUCAGUGGUUGAGGAGCUAUCAUCGCCUCCCUCAACUGCAAUAACAUAAAUUACUGUGGUACUCGAUAACCAUAUGUGAAAAUGUUGAACACAAAUCGUUAGAACCGAUCUUACUGAUGGGUCGUUAGCACUAUGUAUCUAAAGAGGACCUCUCAGUGGUUGAGAAGCUGUCGUCGCAUGGUCCAAUUGCAAACAUAGAUAUGUUAUUUGAUAAUCACAUAUAAAAUUGUUGAACACAAACCGUUAUAAUCGUCCUUAGCGGCUCGUUGUUAGCAUUGUGAGUCUGAGGAGGACCUUUCAGUGGUUGUGGAGCUGUUGUCGUAUGGUCCAACUACAAACACAGAUAUGUUAUUUGAUAAUCACAUGUGGAAUUGUUGAACACAAACCGUUAGAGCCGUCUUUACUGGCUUUUAAUUGCCAUUGCCAUGGUUGUCACCUUCUUUCAUUAACUUGAGGACCGACAGCUCAUCGACGACAGAAACGGCGGUGCGCCUCCGUUUCAUGGCACCAGUGUCUCUUUUAUGCUGCAAGUUUCUCCUUUUUUCCUUCGCACCUAAGCCUCAGUCCGCCCGAUCUUCCAUGUGCCUUAUUGGCACGUAUUGGUGGCCCUCAGAUAAUGGGACAUCAAUGUCCACAAAAUAAUCAUGGCUAUCCUCAUCUAGGGUGGGCUCCAAGGUCUCCACUGCCCACAACUGUAAAAUAGGGAUUGUGAUUAAAUUUUAGAAAAAAUUAUUAUACAAAUUCACAUUAGAAAUUAGUAGCUGUUCACUCACUUGUUGAGAUGACUCUAACAUCUCAACUGCCUUGUAGAAGUCUUUUGGCUUCUGGUUUCAUUGCCAUCUGCACAUGCGUGAGUAGACAUUGUCCUUCGAAGCAGAAGGGGUAAUUAUCUUUCGUAAGGCUGAAAUUGCCUCCAUUGCCCAGAGUUGUAAGUUAAAUGUAACCAUUAUCAGACCGUAAAUGAUAAACGAUUACAACCAUAAAUUAUUAUGUCAAAAGAAAAAUGAAAAAUCUUACGUGAUAGUACCUGUAUUACCCACGCGAAUCCCUAAAUGUUGUAUCGUAAACGAUCCUUUUGCAUGUUCGAGGAAAGCACUUCGAACCCUUUUGAAAGGUAGUCCACGGUCAGCCUCCAAACGUAGUGACUCUAUGGGAAGACAUUCCAAGCGUCGAUGUCCUCCACCAAAGACAAGAGCCAAGGUAUCACUUGUCUACGGUAGUCUUAACCAAAUAAAAUGUUAUUCACGAUCAAAAUGAGUGCCAUCUUGGUCGCGUCUCUUGGUCACUUAAAGUUGCCUCAACGGAACGUAUCAAGCAAGGACUGCAGCUUAACGCUCUGCUGCCCGUUCCAGUAUUAUGCAUGAAUUUCGUCCGCAACAACCUCGUACGGUCGUGUGAACACAUCCGACAUUCGACCAAACUUCAGUCUUAUGAUAAGGCAAAACUCCUACUUUGAUAUGCGCGCCUUGCUUUUCCCAAUGGCAAACCAUAGCUCAUGUUCCAUUGAAUCUGUCACAGUGAUUCGACGGAUCAUGAUGUUAUGCAGGAGACUAGCAAAGAAGUAGCCUUGCGGAUAUACGUCCAGCAACAUUUCGAAGCACGUACGUUUCACUGCAUCGUACUCUCUUAGAAGGUCUUGUUGAUGUAAUGGAGUUACGACCAUUUACAGUGGGUGUUAAUAGUUAUAUUGAAUGCCCACGUCUCCCUCAGCACAAUAAGCAAACCGUCAAGAUCCUUAUACUGUCUAGACUGUAUCUGUAAAACAUGGCACACAUGCACGAGUGAGUUAAUCGAUAAUGUGGUAACACGCCAUAUAUAUAAUAUAAAAUGUGGUAACAAGCCAUGCAUAUAAUGUAAAAUGUGGUAACACGCCAUGCAUAUAAUGUAAAAUGUGGAAACACACCAUGCAUAUAACGUAAAAUGUUAUAACACGCUAUGCAUAUAAAAUAAAAUGUGGUAACACGCCAUGCAUAUAACGUAAAAUAUGGUAACAUGCAAUGCAUAUAACGUAAAAUGUGGUAACACGCCAUGCAUAUAACGUAAAAUGUUGUAACAUGCCAUGCAUAUAAUGUAAAAUUGGUAACAUGCCAUGCAUAUAACGUAAAAUGUGGUAACAUGCCAUGCAUAUAACGUAAAAUGUUAUAAUACGUCAUGUAUAUAACGUAAAAUAUGGUAAUAUGCCAAACGCUGACACGCCAUGCAUAUAACGUAAAAUGUGGUAACAUGCCAACGCUGACAUGCCAAUCACUAUAAUUACUGUGUCCUUACAUGAAUUGGCCUAAAAUACCCGUGGUGUGUGACACGCCAAUCACUGUAAUUACUUACUCGUUGCACGAAUUGUCCUAAAAUAACCAAUGUCAUGACACGCUAAAAACCCUAAAAAGCAAUUUACCCACUACACGCCAUAUCUGUUGUAGUUCAAAACUUUGGUACGACCAUAAAAUCGAGAAGAAAAUAGUUUAAACAUAACAAUUGAAAAAGAUUGAAAAAACACGUACAUAUCACACAAACCCAGCAAAAAAUCAACAAAAGUUUCAAAAGUUUUAUUUUCAGACUGACUGACCUCUUCACUAGUAACCCACAUUGUUGCUGUGGUGUCGUCAAGCUUGCAAAGAAGAAAGUCGAACACUCUGGUAUCUUUGGGAAUGAGGAAUGACGAAUGAACCUCUUCACAUAGACGUUUGCGAUUUCUGAAAAAUAUUUAAUUAAAAUAAAAUGGCCUCACAAUUUCCUCUAUAAAUAUUCAUUUGUUGAAUUCAUUCAGUUGAAGUCCAAUCAGUUUCCUUGUUAUUUGCCUGCUUUUUUUUUCCUUUUUCAAACCAUGUCGUGUCACCCAUAAAUUGCCAUGCUAUGUCACACACUUUAAACCCUGCCGUGUCACGGAUCUGCAUGAAGUCUGACAAACUCUGAACCCUGUCGUGUCACAGAUUCCCUCCAUGGGGUGUCACGAACUCUAAACGCUGAUGUGUCAUAGAUUCCCUCCAUGGUGUGUCAUCAACUCUGAACGCUGACGUGUCAUAGAUUCCCUCCAUAGCGUGUCACCAACUCUGAACUUUGACGUCUCACAGAUUCCCUCCAUGGCGUGUCACAAACUCUGAGCGUGGGCUUUAUUUUCUGUUUUGUUUUCCUUUCUUUUUCUUUUUAUUUUAUAUUAAUGAGUAGUAGAAAAUAGAGAAAAUUGUGAGAAAUAGACCUUUUGAUAAGGUGAUUUUAGAAAUAAUCAUCUAUAUAAAGUUAUCUAUUUCUAGCCAAAAAUAAGCAUGAGUAGACCAAAAUGCCCUUAAAAACAUCGUUUCAAAUUAAGGUCUCGAUAUCUCCCUCUCGCCAGAUAGAAAUAAAAAUAAAUAGAUAAAUGCUUAGCUUUUUGAGCUCGCUCAUCUUUCUCUCUUAGCUCUCUAAACUGUCUCAACUCUGUCAACUUUCUGUUGAGCACCAUCGUCAUCAGCUCUCUCAGCUCUCUGAAUUGUAUGAGCUCUGUCAACUAUUUGGUGAGUACCAUCGUCAUCGAGUUGUGGUUUAUCUCUCGGCAUCUGGCCACAGUGUCAUAGAUUAACAAACCUUAUAGUAAAGAUGACAUCAAGGUAUGUUAUUGGGUUUAUUGCUGCAACACUUAAAUUUCUGAAACAUUUGGUGUAAAUUAGAAUAUGGAUUAGAAACAUUGCCUAAAGUUGUUAUAGGCCAUGCAUCUAUAACAUGUGUUAACGUUAUUUUAGCGUGUCACAACAUUGGUUAUUUUAGGACAAUUUUUGUAACGAGUCUGUAAUUACACUGAUUGACGUGUCACAUGCCAUGAGUAUCUUAGGCCAGCUCGUGUAAGGACAGACAUAAUAAUUAUAGUGAUUGGAGUGUCAGCGUUGGCGUGUUACCACAAUUUACGUUAUAUGCAUGGCGUGUUACCACAUUUGACGUUAUAUGCAUAGCGUGUUACCACAUUUUACGUUAUAUGCAUGGGGUGUUACCACAUGACUGGCAAAUUCUAAAACACGGCAUGUCAUGUAAUGUGUUAAAUGAUUGACAAAUUAUUGUUGUUUUCAAAAUUUCAGUGGGGUUCCAGUUGUGCGACUUGUGAUAAGACACGUGGUCAGUGGGUGGAUGGCAUUUGCAAGAGUGGUGAGUCACGAAAGUAGGGGUUAGGAGUGAUUUGUCGUUUGUGGGAUUGAUGAAGCUGGUUGAAGAUGUUGUUGGGAUAAACUCAAAAAUUAAUGAGAUUGAGUUACAUGCAUUGAUCAGUACACCAGAAGAGUUAUCACGGCCAAUUAUCAAGGACGAUGAGGAUGUUGCAUUAAUUCUGCUAGAACAGAGGAAUGUUUCGGCUGUGUAUGUCAACAUUAAGGGACGUCAAACAAAUGUUAUGUCACAUGAAAAAGUUGAACAACAUGGUAAUCAGCUCAAUCAAAAUGAGAUAUACAAUGCUUCACAUAUAUGAUAGCAUUCGGUUUGUAACCCACAACAAUGGCAAUUGACGUAUGCACAAGAGUUUGUGCAGCUCGGCAGACACACGACAUUCAUAAAAUAGUUGGCUGCACAAUUUCGAUCAGGAUGUGCAUCGAACCAAUUAGUUACUUGUGUCCAACAAAUGCAACGAUCGGGUAAAACUGUACAGGGUGCAAUGGCAUUUUCAAAUGAGAAUGCGACACUUGAGGACAACAUUGUGAUGUUGGAGGGUGACACUACGACGCUCGAGGAUAAUACUACAUCUGAUGAGGGAAAUGAGGAUUUAUUCUCUGUCAGUGAAGAUAGAUUUGAUGACAAUUCGAAUGAUGGGCCUGAUGAAUGGCAUGAUGAGAGUUCAGACGAAGACUAUCUUUAUGACAGUGACAUUCUAAUUUGCAAUAAUGUUGAAGGCGAAAUGGAACCUGUUAGAGGUGUUGAUGUAAGAGAUGUUCAAUGUGAUGACCCCAUAUACAAUAGCCUCAUCGCUGAUGAGAAUGGGAUUCAUUCCAACUGGUACAUUGCUCCAUGAUAGUUAUCAAGAAAGGGGAAAUAGAGGGAUAUCUCGUACGUGGAUAAUUUCAGGUGUAGAAAGGUUUUCCUUCCAAACAAUUACAACUAAGGUGUCGACAUGUGCCAAUGAUCCCUUAUACAAAGAAAGAAUAUUUUCCUCGAAGGCUGAGUUGAAACGAGCUUUAAAUAUGUUGGCUCUAAAAGCGUAGUUUGGGAUAAGAGUAAAAAUGUCAUGUAAAGCUUGUUAUGAGGUUGGUUGUAAGGACAAGGCAUGCAAGUUCAGUGUGCAUGCAACAAAGUUACCUAAAUGAGGAGAAUAUUAGCAAGUUCGGACAUUCCACAAAGUACACACAUGUACUGUUGAUGGUUUGCAAGAGCGAUUUGCAACUGCGAGUGCGAAGAUAAUUGGUGAACUUAUGUCACACAAGCUUUAUGCUAAUGGAGUAGCAUUGAGACCUAAGGACAUAAUUGGUGAGAUGAAGGUUCAGUGGGGAUUGGAAUGCCUGUAUGGUAAGGCUUGGCAAGCGAAGGAGUAUGCGAAGAAGCUUGUUUUCGGUCCCCUAGAGGAGUGAUUUCAACUACUACCCUCGUAUUUUUAUAUGUUAGAACAAGAAAAUCCCGGCACAGUCACUACAGUGGCUACUGAUGAGGCAGAAAGAUUCAAAUAUUGUUUUUAGGCAUACGGGGCUUGAAUUCAAGGGUUUAGGGAUGUAAUGCUUCCUACAGUUGCAAUUGAUGCGACACAUCUGAAAGACAGGUUCAAGGGUGUGCUGUUUGUUGCUAUAUGUAAAGAUGCGAACGAGUGUGUAUAUCUAGUUGCGUUUGGCAUCAGCCAUGUUGAGGACGAAGACUCAUGGACGUGGUUUCUUAGCAAGCUGCGUGAUGCAAUUGGUUGUCCUGAAAACACUAUGUUCAUUUUUGAUCAGUAUCUUGACAUGAAAAAAGUAAUCCAAAAUGCAUACCUAAAAGCGCACCACGGUUUAUACGGGUACCACUUGAAGAAAAAAUUUAAAAACAAGUUCAAGCGUGACGACGUUGCUAUGAUUUUCACCCUUACUCGAGAUUGCUAUAAGGUUUUUGAUUUCAACAGACAUAUGAACCAGCUCAAGCAGAUUCACGCAGGAGCCCACACUGACCUUAUGAGAAUAGGCCCUCAGAGAUGGGCAGUGCCUGUUCACCAGACAAGGCGAUACCAAAUGAUGACAUCCAACAUUGCAGAAUGUGUUAACUCAUACUUGAAGUAUGCAAGACAAAUGCCAAUCACUAUUUUGAUCGAGUUCAUCAAAGACAUGUUCCAGCUUUGGUACCAUGAUCGAUACGAGGAGGCCAUCAAGGUGACCAUGCCCCUCAGACCUUGGGUUGCCAAGCAGUUGAGGAAAUGGUUCAAUGAUGCACAUUGCUUUGUGGUUAAACCUAUCAAUCGAGUGGAGUUUGAAGUUAAAGAUAGGAAGAUGGAUGGACUUGUAAACUUGUCCACGAAGACAUGUUCAUGUUGUGAGUUCCAAAUAGAUUUACUGCCAUGCAGCCAUGCCAUUGUAGCAAUAAGGUCAGAAUAUCUUUAUUUCUUAUUUGAACCCUAAUUGACAUAGUAUUUACAUUGUGCUUGAACAUUGAAAUCAUUGUAUAUUUCAGUAAAUGCAAACGUGAAGCCAUUGAAUUUUGCGCUGACUACUACAAGACAACCGUUUUUAUGGAGGGUUAUGCAGGGUCAAUUCGCCUGGUAGGGCAUCCCAGUGAGUGGGAUAUGCCCCCUCAUGUGAAACAAAUUAUCGUUUUGCCACCACCUUGGCAAAGCCAAGCGAGAAGACCUAGGAUGAGAAGGAUUCCAUCAGUCUAUGAAGGUAGUUGAGCACGGAGAUGUUCGCAAUGCAAGAGGUACGGGCAUAACAGAUAGAAUCGCCCAUCCCUAUUUGCAGUUCCAUCCACAAAUCCAACACCAUCUCCAAGUCAAUCGGUGCCUCCACGAGUGCACCAACUGAAAGCAUGUUCAAGUUGCAGACAAACCGGUUACACACGCAACAACUGUCCAAUACGAAAGACAAUGUCUAAAAACUUAGGGUGUCUUGUGGAUGAAGACAGCUUGUCAGCCUAACUAAAUGUGUAACCCUGGUGCAAUACCUUUGUCACAAUUUGCUCUUGCAGUAUCUUACAUUCAUUCAUAUUUGGAUUUUGUGUUUGUUAGUUUUCUCUUGUAGAUGAGUCUUCAUUUUUUUUUAUUAAUUUUGUAGAUAUAUUAUUUGAUUAUUAAUUUCAUUUUGUCCGUAGUUUUGAACACUAAAUAGACUUGCGAAAUCCCUAUACUGUUACCCCAUUUCUCACAUUUUAUUACCACUUGUAUUAAAUAAUUAAUAAUUUAAUUUAAUUCCUUUCUAUUUCAUUUGAUUUAACCUUUUAUGUUCUUACAAUCAAAUCUCUUACAAUCUAUGAAAUUAAUUCAUCUAACUUUAGUAGCAUUCUAAAUUCUAAUAUUCAAUUUGUUUUUGUAAUUUUUUAAUUACAAAGUUUAUUUUAUCUUAUUAAUACCUCUAUAUAAAACUUUAAGCCAAUCACUUAAGAAAAUAAUAAUAAUAUUGUACGAAAGAGUUUACUUCAAAGGAUGCAAGUAUAGAAAGAGAAAAUUUUGGAGUAAUUAAAAACAUAUCAUAUGAAUUUAAAGAUUAAAACACAUGACUUGACCAAACAAAUUUUAAAAAUUUAUGGAUCAUCCAAUUAAAUUUCAUCUAUAAAUCAUCAUAAUUAUUUUUUAUUAAAUUAAAACAUUUUAAAAAUAAAAUUAAAAUAUAAGGAUGAAAAUUCCCCAAAAAUAUAUUAUGCUAAGCUAAUAAAAGAAAUGCCACGUGACAUUUUUGAUCAUCUGGUGUAGGGGUUGAGAUUACGCUGUAAUUGGUAGAUGUCAAUUAGAUCUUAUGGUGACACGCUGAGUGAAAGCAAAUAGUUGGCAUGACACGCUGAGUGCAUGCAGAUUUCGGUGGUGACACACUGACUUUUUGCAGUAUUGUGAGGUGACACGACAUGCCCCAUCUUGUGGUGACACAUUGAGUGGAAGCAGAUAGUUAGCGUGACACGUUGAGUGCAUGCAGAUUUCGGUGGUGACACGCUGACUUCUUGCAAUAUUGUGGGGUGACACGACUUGCCCAAUCUUGUGGUGACAUGCUAAGGGGAACUAGAUAGUUGGCGUGACACGCUGAGUGCAUGCAGAUUUUGAUGGUGACAUGCUGACUUCUUGCAGUAUUGUGGGGUGACACGGCACGCCCCAUCUUGUGGUGACACGCUAAGUGGAACCAGAUACUUGGCGUGACACGUUGAGUGCAUGUAGAUUUUGGGGGUGACAAGUUGACUUUUUGCAGUAUUGUAAGGUGACACGGCACGCCCCAUCUUGUGGUGACACGCUGAGUGGAGCCAGAUACUUGGCGUGACACGCUAACGUGUUCUAGUUUUUAGAGGUGACACGCCAUGUCCCAAUGGGGUGACACGCCACAUGGUUGCAGUAUUAAUUUCAAGGCACUAUGUUUGAAUUGAGAAAAAAAAAAGUAAUCUAUAAAAUGUAUGAAUAUUAAAAUUAAUAAAAUUAAUUAUAUAUACAAAAAAAGUAUAGAUAAGGGUCGAUAUGUUCAGGGUUCAUUCUCACAACUGUUGAAAAAAAUUUCUAGGAUGUAUUGGCGACACAAAUUUGCAAUCAUAUUCUACUUAACUUUGAUUGAUUCCGGUUGCAAAAUAUCGUCAAUGUACCCUAUCAUGAACAUGUUGCAGCUAACACUAUUAUUUUGCCAAUACACUUUAGCUUUUGGCAAAUAAAUUUUCAAUGGCAUCGGCGUCAAAUCUUGUGUUUUCCAACAUGUUUUGUUGAAAUAACCAACUUGGUGGUAGAUGAUUGGCAUAAUUGUUGUAAGGGGUGUCAUCUGAGCCGCUCACACUCCGUUAUCCUUAGCGUCCAAGUUCUUGAGGAGUCCACCACCUUAAUCGUCCACCUCACCAAUUCGAUCUUCACUACCACCCAAUGCCCACCCACAUUGCAAGGCGCGAGGAUGAAAUCGACGUCGUCCCUUUUUUUUGCUGUAUGUUGGCUUAUCACCCUCCACGUACGCCCGUAACUUAUCUGGAAUUUCCAUACUCGAUCGAGCAUUUUCAGUUGAAAAUGAGGUGUGUAGCAUAUGGAUGGUAUCUUGUGAAGCAUGUAUACAUUAGCUUACACUUAAUGCAGUAAAAAACUUAGUAUUUUCAGAAUUAAAAAUUUUUCAAAUUAAUUUACGAAGAAUAUCGUGUCAACCUCGCAUGCACGAGUAGUGUACAGCUUCGACUUCAGCCCUGUCAUCUACUUACAAAGUACACUGAAGCAUGCGUCUAUAUGUUCACUACUCAUUUCUUCUUUAGGAUUCUCUAAUGUUAUGAACAAGUCAGCCCCUUGAUUCUUUAAGAUCUCGACAUUACGCCUGCAUAUGUAAUAGAAUGAGUUAGAAAAGCCUUGGUGAAUUAAUGUUUCAUUAAAAAACAAUAUUUGCAAUGUUAUUUAUGUGCUUACCUCGUGCACUCGUCUUUCUUGAAAGCUUUGUACGGUUCGACCAUUGUGCUCUUUACAUCCCGACGAUUCAUUGAGGGGUAGACGUACGAGCUUGCUCUGUAUUUGCUCGCCAUUUUCACCCGUGCCGGCUCAAUUGGAUUUGAAAUUUAUGCUGCAUGAUGAUGGACAUCAGAUGACUCUAAUGACGGCAACUGUGAGCUGCUGGCUUCAGAAGUGCUCUGAGGAAGAUGGUCCCCUCCUACUGUUGCCUCGAUUAAUGCAUCGGCUUAAGGAAGAUGGUCCCCUCCUCCUACUGCCUCGACUAAUGCAUUGGCUUAAGGAAGAAGCUCUCAUUCAGCCACGAUUGAGUGAAGGUCCCCCUCCCCUCCCGCAGAUGCAUCGAUAAUCGAAUUCGCCUCAAGAACAGGGUCUCCUUCAGCAUCAUAUGAUUAAAGGGUCACAUCCCCUACAACAGCAUCAUCCGGAUCGGCUUCAGGAACAAGGUCUCCGUCAGUGCCACCAACAUCAUCGUGAAUGUGCAAACUAGGUUUAUCAUGAUGCCCAUCAUUAGUAUCAUCGUGGUCCUCAACAACACUGUGAGAUGAAGGAUUGCCUACAGAACGAGAUAAAUGGAAAAAUUCAUUAGCUCAUAUAAUGCCACAAACCAUAAACCGAGAACAAAAAAUAGAACUAUACCUACUAAAUGUAAAUGACCAAUAUAUGAGCGAAGAUAGAAUAACGUACUUGUGAUUUUAGGCCGUCUAGAAUUUGAGCAAUGACACGGUCUUUAAACGUUUGCAUCGUCACAGUUAACGACUGAAUUGAAGCCUUCAACUCUGACAUGUCUUUUUUAUUCCCGUGCAUGAUCCGUUGUAGCUGACGCUUCGUGACUACUCCGUCAUUGACUCUUGUUAAAUGGGUCAACUGCAAUAAUAUAUAUUACUGUGUUAUUCAAUAAUCAUAUAUGGAAUUAUUAAACAUUACUCGUUAUAACUUUAAUAUCUUUAUCGGCGGCUUAUUACCACUUUAUAGUUGAGCAGGACUGAUAAGUGGUUGAGGAGCUGUCAUCGCCUCCCUUAAUUGUAAUAACAUAAAUUACUAUGGUAUUUGAUAACCAUAUGUGAAAAUGUUGAACAUAAACCGUUAGAACCGAUCUUACUGGCGGGUCAUUAACACUGUGCGUCUAAGGAGGACCUCUCAGUGGUUGAGGUGCUGUCGUCGCAUGGUCUAACUGCAAACACAGAUAUGUUAUUCGAUAAUCACAUAUGAAAUUGUUGAACACAAACCGUUAUAACCGUCCUUACUGGCUCAUUGUUAGCAUUGUGAGUUUGAGGAGGACCUUUCAAUGGUUGUGAAGUUGUUGUCGCAUGGUUCAACUACAAACACAGAUAUGUUAUUUGAUAAUCACAUGUGGAAUUGUUGAACACAAACCGUUAGUCGUAUUUACCGGCUCUUCAUUGCCAUUGCCAUGGUCGUUACCUUCUUUCAUCAACUUAGGGAUCGAUAGCUCAUCGACGACAGAAGCGACGGUGCGCCUCCGCGUCAUGGCACUAGUGGCUCUUUUAUGCUAUAAGUUUCUCCUCUUUUCCCUCACACCUAAACCUCAGUCCGCCCGAUCCUCCAUGUGCUUUAUUGGCACGUUUUGGUGGCCCUCAGAUAAUGGGACAUCAAUAUCCAUAAAAUAAUCCUGGCUAGCCUCAUCCGAGUUUGGGCUCAAAAGUCUCCACUGCCCACAACUGUAAAAUAGGGAUUGUGAUUAAAUUUUAGGAAAAAUUAUUAUACAAAUUUACAGCAGAAUUUAGUAGCUAUUCACUCACCUGCUGAGAUGACUCCAACAUCUCAACUGCUUUGUAGAAGUCUUUUGGCUUCUAGUUUCAUUGCCAUCUGCACAUGCGUGGGUAGACAUUGUCCUUCGAAGUAGAGGGGGCAACUAUCUUUCGUAAGGUCGAAAUUGCCUCAAUUGCCCAGAACUGUAAGUCAAAUGUAACCAUUAUCAGACCGUAAAUGAUAAACGAUUACAACCAUAAAUUAUUAUGUCAAAAGAAAAAUGAAAAAUCUUACGUGACAGUACCUAUAUCACUCACGUGAAUCCGUAAAUGUUGUAUCGUAAACGAUCCUUCUGCAUGUUCGAGGAAAGCACUUCGAACCCCUUCCAAAGGUAGUCCAAGGUCAGCUUCCAAACGUAAUGACCCCAUGGGAAGACAUUCGAAGCGUCGAUGUCUUCCACCAACGACAAGAGCCAAGGCAUCACUUGUCUAUGGUAGUUUUGACCAAAUAAAAUGUUAUUCGCGAUCAAAAUGAGUGCCAUCUUGGUCGCGUCUCCUAAUUGCUUAAAGUUGCCUCAACAGAACGUAUCAAGUAAGGCCUGCAGCUUAACGCUCUAUUGCCCGUUCCAGUAUUGUGCAUGAAUUCCGUUUGCAACAACCUCAUACGAUAGUGUGAACACAUCCGGCAUUCGACCAAACUUCAGUCCGGUGAUAAGGUAGAACUCUUGCUUUGAUAUGCGUGCCUUGCUUUUCCCAAUGGCAAACCAUAGCUCAUGCUCUAUUGAAUCUGUCACAGUGAUUCGACGGAUCAUGAUGUUAUGCAGGAGAUUAGCGAAGAAGUAGCCUUGCGGAUAUACGUCUAGCAGCAUUUCGAAGCAUGUACGCUUCACUGCAUCGUACUCCUAUUUCUCUUCAAGGGUCUUGUUGGUGUAAUGGAGUUACGACCACUUACAGUAGGUGUUAAUAGCAAUGUUGAAUGCCCACUUCUCCCUCAACACAAUAAGCAAACUAUCAAGAUCCUCAUACUGUCUGGACUGUAUUUGUAAAACAUGGCACACAUGCAUGAGUGAGUUAACCCAUAAUGUGGUAACACGCCGUACAUAUAAUAUAAAAUGUGGUAACAAGCAAUGCAUAUAACGUAAAAUGUAGUAACACGCCAUGCAUAUAACGUAAAAUGUGGAAACACGCCAUGCAUAUAACGUAAAAUGUUGUAACACACCAUGCAUAUAACGUAAAAUGUGGUAACACGCCAUGCAUAUAAUGUAAAAUGUUGUAACACGCCAUGCAUAUAACGUAAAAUGUGGUAACACACCAAAUGCUGACACUCCAUGCAUAUAACGUAAAAUGUGAUACCACACCAACGCUGACACGCCAAUCGCUAUAAUUAUUGUGUUCUUACAUGAACUGGCCUAAAAUAUCCGUGGCGUGUGACACGUCAAUCACUGUAAUUACAGACUCGUUACACGAACUGUCCUAAAAUAACCAAUGUCGUGACACGCUAAAAACCCCAAAAAGUAAUUUAUCCACUACACGCCAUAUUUGUUGUAGUUCAAAACUUUGGUACGACCAUAAAACCGAGAAGAAAACAGUUUAAACAUAACAAUUGAAAAAGAUUGAAAAAACACGUACAUAUCACACAAACCUAACAAAAAAUCAACGAAAGUUUUAAAAGUUUUAUCUUCAGACUGACUGACCUCUUCACUAGUAACUGACAUUAUUGUUGUGGUGUCGUUAAGCUUGUAAAAAAGAAAGUCGAACAGUCUAGUAUCUUUGGGAAUGAGGAAUGACAAAUGAACCUCUUCACACAAACGUUUGUGAUUUCUGAAAAAUAUUUAAUUAAAAUGAAAUGGCCUCACACUUUCCUCUAUAAAUAUUCAUUUAUUGAAUUCAUUCAGUUGAAGUCCAAUCGGUUUCCUCGUUAUUUGCCUGUUUUUUUUUCCUUUUUCAAACCAUGUUGUGUCACCCAUCAAUUGCCAUGUUGUGUCACACACUUUAAACGUUGCCAUGUCACGGAUCUCCAUGGAGUUUGAGAAACUCUGAACCUUGCCAUGUCACAGAUUCCCUCCAUGGCGUGUCACCAACUCUGAAUUUUGGCGUCUCACAGAUUCACUCUAUGGUGUGUCAUAAACUCUGAACGUUGGCGUGUCACAGCCGUGUCACACAUUCCCACCAUGGCGUGUCACCAACUCUAAACCCUGUUGUGUCACAGCUGUGUCACACAUUCCAACCAUGUCGUGUUAUAAACUCUAAACUUUGUCGUGUCACACAUUCCUAACAUGCCGUUUCACAAACUCUAAACUCUGCCCUGUCACAACCGUCUCACAUAUGGCUUGCUGUAGCAUGACCAUUUCAUGCUUUGGAUUCACAUCUUUCUCCUUUCGAUUCACCACCGUAUCAGGGAUUUUUGGUUUCACAUCAUUCUCCAAGCUUUCAAUUCAUCACGACCGGUUCCUCGUUCGGUUUAAUAUCACUCUUCUCCUAUUAUCUAAAUGUCAUGUCCCAAAUCUCUAAAAAACCAUCUCAUACAACAUUAUUUUGUUUUGCACAAGCUUCACGAAAAAAUAGAUGUUUUACACAAAAUUAGAUGUUCGCAAUUUAUUUGCAUAUUUAUUUUCUCAUUUUUCGCCUGUUUGAGAGUGCGCGUCAACUAAGAUGACUCAUUAAGGGCAUUUUUGUCCCAAAAUCUAUUUUCGUGGCUAAAAACAAUUAAAAUUAUUUGGAAGCUUAUUAACAAAAACAUGUUAUUUUUAAGAGUUAAAAAAAAAAUUUCCCCUAGAAAAUAUUGUAGACGUUCUUUCUUUUCUUUCCAACUUUGUUUUUUCUUUCCUGCCAAUUUCAAACAUAUAAAAAAUUUGGUUUAAUAUUUUGGAGCUGCGCAUAGUAUUGGCAUCAAAAGGAAAUGGAGAGGCAAUGAAAGAAAGCGCAUUAUGUUCCAAUCCCGAAGCAAUCUUUAGCCAAAAUCUCUCUUUUUUUUUUCCUUGAGUGCCUGCUCUUGAGGCUAAUGUUUUAUUCCUUUUUGAUGGUCUCUUUUCACCUUUUCAGAAACAAAGAACGCAAAGCAGAUAUCUAGAUUCCAAAUCAUGGAAAACGUCAAACUCAUAGCAUGAUAUGAUUGCCCCAAUACCCCCCUCUCCACUUACAUCCUCUUCGAUUCCCUUUCCUCUCGAUGAUUCACAGGUUUCUAGUUUCUACCCCAUGUUUAUUGCAAGUGUGCUUUCACAUUCCAAGAAGGGAAAGGGUGGCCCGAAGAUUGUUUUUCUUUUCUUCUGUAUUGGACUAUAGCGGUGCAAGGCUUUAAAGAAAAUAUAAAUGGAGACAUAAAGGGGAAUAUUCUUGAGGUGGAAGAUAGCGGAUUAAUGGAAGUCUUGAUGGGUGGAAGAAGGAGCUUGUUUCAGUGGUUUCAGGCAGUUGGAUACCUGAGCAAGUAAUAAAGCGCAACAACUUUCUGCUUGUUGUUUUAGGUGAUGGAAUUCUUUGGUCCAUAAGGAGGGAGGUGGAAGACAGUUUAACGUACCAUCUCUGUCAAAAGUCAUGCUGUAAGUGCACAUGCUCAGCCUCAGAUUCCAAUUACAAACUAUUUGGUCACAGUAUCAGUUUGGAACAACCAGCCCUGUUGGCUAAAAACCAUAAGAUUGGUUCUUCAGAGGUCAUUCAAGCGUUUAAACCUUGAAUUAAAUCUUUUUUAAACAAAUAGUUUGUUCGGUUUUCGAGUUACAACAAUAUUGUGUUAUCUUAUUUCACAAAAGUGAUGCAUUUGAAAUUAACAUCAACAAUACAGUCUAAGACUUUCAAUGGCAUUUACCGGCAACCGAGACCAAUAAAAUCAUCUUUCAAAAAAAAAAGGAAAUUAAUAUUAACAAAAGACUCUUAAUAAGAUUCGAUUCGAAUAUAAUUUGAAUAUAAAAUAACUGACAUUGAUACACAGAUUGAACUAUAAUCUUGAAAUUUUUUUCUUAAAGGCUUUUGACUUUUGAAUUCAAAUUUUAUGAUAAAUUAGAGAUGAUUUAUAAAAUAAGAAAUAAAGCUUAAAGAAACAAUUUAAUUUCAAUAACCUAGAAAAAAACCUCUGCAAAUGUACUUGUUAUAAUUGUUUGAGAUACCUGUUUGUGGUAGAUUAAGAAAUUUUUCUAAGUGGUGUCAUGGUUAAAAUAAUGAUAAUAAAUAAAAAAAUAUUAAUAUUUAAAUUAUAAAAAAAUAUUUUUAUCUUUUCAUGUAGUAUUUAACUAUAUUAGUCCAGAUAGAGCCAGAAACAUGGUAAAGUAAGGUGAGUGAAAUAAAUUGACUUGAUGAAAAUCUUGCAUGUUUCCACUGUUUCUUGAAGCGAAAUUUAUUUGAUGGAUCAAGUUGUAGCUAGCUAAAAAGACUAAUGGUGAUUAUCAAAGAUGUAAUUCUAAUGAUAAUAUAUAGUAGCUUAAAUCGACAAGAAGUUCAGCCCGAGUAUAUACAAAUCUUCUGCUCGAACAAUUACAUAUUCUGCCAAAGUACUGUAGCUAGCUUAGCCCCAAAGAAAGCUAAUCAGUAGAGACCCCGCAUCUCAAAUAUUCUUGCUGAUUAAUCUUCUCAGGGUGCAGUCGUUUCCUGCCACUGAGAGGGACUCCAAAAAGCUUCACAGUGUUGUUUGGCUCCUCUGUUAGAGUCAUUGAUGACUUGCCCAAAACGCUGCUUGUAGCAUUUUCAUUGCCAGAAUGGAUUGGAUCUUGAAACGAAGGACCCAAUUCUCUGAUCUUUGUUCCUAAAUUAUAAGCUUUUUGCUGAUAAGGCACUGGUUUUACAUGAUUUUGGAUAAAAUAAAUGAUGUCAUUGUAAAGGUUCUUCAUGUGAGUGAGUUCAGACACAAGCAUGUAGUUCUUUCUGCGUAGUCUCUGAUUAUCUUGGGUGAGUGCUGUUAGAACAUCGGCGCUGGCUUUCGGAGAUGGUGACGGGGACUCGAUCCAUCCAAAGCCUUCUUCUGGCUUGAGAAACUGGGUUUGUUGUUCAUGGUGGUACUGUUGGUGAUUUUGAGGGGUUUUUCUUCUAUGGAUCUCCGAUAGCAAGUGCUUUGCUCCUUUCCUGAAGUACUCGUUCGCAAACUCCCAUCUGUCUGCCACUACCUUCUUAAAUCCCUGAGAUUUUUUCAACCAUUACCAAGAUUGAGAAACAUUAUUUAACCAUAUUUCAACACAAAGUCUCAACUGAAUAUAUUAUGAAAAGCAACUCUAUUAAGAUCGUCAAAAAAUGGAAUGAGACUGAGAGCUUCAUUCAGUGAUCAAGUAAAGGAGAGAGUGUAUAUAUAGCAAAUGAUUUGAUUGUUGAGAAUCAUAUAUUGAAAUACUGAGCAUCCAGUACAUUGAUCUCUGCUGAUAUUUGAACCUAAAAAACAACAACAAUAAGAUAAAGAUCUUGAGAAAGAAAAAGGGAUAAACAACACAUCAUUUAAACAAUCAAUUAAAGGCUGAGAGAAACCUAGAGUCCUAAACGUCGGGGAACUUAAAGCCUGGAAAACCAUCUAAAAUCAUAUUUCAUUCAAAGAAAAACCAAGUUGGGGAGAGAGAGAGAGAGAGAGAAGGCUCACAUAGGUAUUAAGCUGCCUGACAAAGCUGGAGAAAUUGUUGUGCUUGAAAUAGCUGGGCAGAAGAUCCCUCGCAAACUCAGGGGGUCUCCACACAACAAAGCUUGUCUCAUCUUCACCCCAUGAGACAAUGUGGUCUGUGAGAGGGUCGUCAACAAGCUGGUAGGUCUUUGAAAGAAAUGGUGCAGGAACUGCCUUUUGGGAUUCCACAGAGAACACCAACUCUUCACUCCUCUCCACGGUGAAUGCCAUUAUACCAAAUACUAAAGAUUAGCAAGUGGUAGUUUCUAUCCUCAUUUCACUCCAAGUAUAAGGCGUUUAAAGCACAGGCACUUCUCUCUCUCUCAUUAUAACUUUCUAGCUUUAUGAAACAGAAACAUAUGACCUUGUCACUAAAAUAAAAGCUACUAUUCUUUCCUCUCUCUCUCUCUCUCUCUCUCUAUUAUNCUUACGUUCACUAAAAUAAAAAUGAACUACUAUUCUUUCCUCUCUCUCUCUCUCUCUCUCUCUAUAGUUUAUAACUUUAAGAAGCAUAUGACCAUGUCAGCCAAAAAAAUUGAAUAUUUCUAGAAUUACUAUAAUAAGAUCCAAUGAACUAUUAAUUAGCUAUUGAUUGUCCUUUUGACAGCAGAAUGGGUGGUGAAUGCUGAUGCUUCAUGAACUCUUCCAACUUUUCCCCUUGAUUAGGGCACUCCCAAUUUCUGAUCUCCGAAAUCUCUUUUAAUUCAGUGACCUUUAUUACUUUUGUUAACACCUGAAAGUACUGCCCUACUUGACAAACUGAUUAUUUUACUCAACUUCUGUUUUGCCAGCGAUUAAAAUGGUUUUUGCCUUGCAGAUUACACGAGCUAUUAUUUGUUGUUCCGUAGCUUUUAUGUUUGUCUUUUGGAACAAGGUCGAUACUCUGUCUAUAUACAAGAUCAGGUUUAGCCUGACUAUUGUUAUCCUUCUUUAUUAAAAGAGUUCAGAUAUAGGUCCAAUCUUCUCUCCAUUUUUUGUUUUUCAUCAGAGUCGAUAUCCUCUUGAGAAACUUGUUUGCAGCUAGAGAUUCUCACACAUGACACCAUUAUUCUCGAGAAUGAAUUCCUUCAUUAUUAAUUAAUGGCAGCUUAAUCUUGACUAAAAGAUUCCACAAUCGGGAUGUACCAGCUUUCAACUGAUGUGGUCCUAGAAUAAUUAAAUCAGUGCUAGCCAUAGCUGAAAGGAAAGGGUGGAGUGCCCCAAACAAUUUUUCCAUGUUUCAAAAGGAUGGUCAGCUUGCAAGUUUAUUUACUUUUUUUUUCUGAACAUAAAGAUCCAAAUCCAAUUGCAGAUUUCAAGAUUAAAUGGUGUGAUGAAAUGGUUUUAAUGUUGUUAUGUCCUCCCUAGCAGGAACAUUAUAUUUUUAUCUAGAACCAUAGCUUGGGUGCUAGCAGCUACAAAGCUUUCAUCAUAAACUUUACUAUAUAUAUAUAUAUAUCCAUCUCCAUAUUAUAUAUUUAAUCAAUUCAACAACUUUCAACAGGCUGCUGUUUGAUUAUAUAUAUAACACAGUGUUUCAGUGACAUUCAGAAGCACUAACUCUAUUAGAUUUAUUGGAAAUAAACAGUAAAUGCUAGUUGGCAAGGGAAAGGUGCAUGGUUGAUGGUUCUAAUCUGUCUAUCUCCCCUUCUAACUAGCCAUCUUCAAUUUCUUGAUAACUCUUUGCAGAAUAAAUCAAUUAUUUAACAAGCUGAGACAAGAUUUCAAAUUAAUUGUUAAUUCUAAAUUUCAAUUUGUUCGUAGUAAACACUUGAUGCUCACAGGCUUGUGCUGAGUGCAAUGCAUAUUGGUAAACAGAAUAUAUAACUAAUACUAUUAAAUUAAUAAAACACAACGCUUACUGGGAUGACCAAUUUUGUUUUAUUUAAUUUCCUGGUUUCAAAAUUUUAUAAUAUCCAAUACUUAGCAUUUUUCUAAACCAACGUAUCACAUUUAGCUUCAUAUAGAGUUUUAUACAAAUAUAUAUAGAGCCUCGAAACAUUCAAGAGAGCUGUAAGGCAGAAUAAAGUAAACAAAAGAUUGCAUAUUGAAUUAGCAAUACACUACCACAAAUUUGAGUGACAUGCAUUCAUACAAUGAUACAUUAUAGGAUGAUAAAUCUUAUUUACAUUUGAAUUUAAUCAUAUUAUAGGAUGAUAAUUUUGUUUAUAUUUGAAUUUAAUCAUGAUAACAUAAUAAUUAGAGAAAUACUGUCAAGAUAAAUGAAAACAAACGUUUACCUUGGAAUUAAAAGACUUUGAAAUCUUUAUUUAUCAGGAAUAGCUCAGUCACGUAUGGAUUUGAUUUCAUCAUUAUGUUUUGUUCUGUUCUAAAUCAUUUCAUAUAACUUGAUGAAAUUCUCAAAGCAUGCUUGUGACUUGAAAGAAAAUAGGCCACUGCAUUGGAAGGAAUAUUAUGAUCCUUCGCCACAAUAAACCUGAAUAAAACCAUUUUCUACUAAUUAAUUCCCAUUUCUUUUAUAUAUAUAUGUAUUAUUUAUAAAAGCAAGCCAAAACAUCCACUUCUUAAAAGCUGCUUCAAAGAAUUAAAAGGACAAAGGUCUCCUACCCGACUCUCUGCAGAUUCUUUCUAAGAGGGGGGCCACUUGAUUUAUACUAUUGUGUAUAUAGCUUUGUGGGUGGUCCUGCGAGAUACUAUUUUAAUUUUAAAAUUUGACUUGAGAGAAAAGCCUUUAUUCAUUUUUUAUAUUGAAAAUAUUUAUAGCUUGAAUUUCAUAAACGAGUCUUUAUGGUUAAAAGUUAACUUUUUAUCGCAGAAGGAGAAAAAUUUAUACAAUUAUAAGAUAUCAUAUGUCUUUUGUAAUAAGUGAUUUAGAGAUAAACUAAAGACACUAAAUUCUCAUAAAGGUUUCUUAUCCAGCACUACAAAUAUAGAAAUGGUGUGGAUGAUUCCAAAGGGGUUAUGUGUAGUCUUUGGAUGAGUUCAAUUUUUUGCUUUUCAAGCAUGAGACUUUUGGUAAUGUAGUUUGUCCCAAAGCAAUAGUUGAUUCAAUUCUUGAUAUAAACUUUGCCUUAUUUGUCUAUUCUCUCAUUAUUCAAUAAUGGAAGGUAGUAAAUAAAUAGUCACAACUCUUAAGGUUUAGGUAAGAUCACACUAACAUUAAUGCACCAGAUUCUAUUAGAACUUCGCAAUUAAGCGUAUUUGGGCAAAAGUAGUACUAGGAUGGGUGACUUCUUAAGAAGUCCUCAUCUUGUACCUUUUUUUUUGUUCUUUAAGUAUAAAAAUAUUAAAGUAGAGGAAGUCAAUGGAAAAGCCAUUGUUUCUAGAGGAAGUCGAUCACCUUUAAUGGAGUAAGCCAUUGCGAAAAUCGAUGGAAAAGCCACUGUCUCUAGAGGAAGUCAAUCACCAUUCAAUCAUUGUCUCCAGAGGAAGUCUAUCACCUUGAAUGGAGUAAGCCACUGUGAGGAAGUCGAUGGAAAAGUGACUGUCUCCAAAGGAAGUCACUCACCUUGUAUGGAGUACAACGAAAAAAAUUUAAGUCAGGAAGAGAAUAAGCGAAUAAGGGGUGCAAUAAAGAUUCAAUACAAAAAACUUUCAAAUAAACUAUUUUGUGGGGGAAAAAAAUGUUUACGGUGCUGCUGCCAAGGGUAAUAUUGACAAAAUUUCAUUCGAUUUAGAACAAGGAUGGGUUGAUGAUGAUGAUAUGGUGAAUGGUGAAAGACAAGAUGAAAUGCCACAAAUUUGUAUCAAUAAGGGAAAAAAAAAAAGAGAUUCAACGACCAUGGUGUUCUACUUUGAUAAUCAAACUAUUAGGUAAGUCUUUGGCGUUUAGUGCUCUUCAUAGUCGAAUCAUUAAGUUAUGAUGUUUGAAUGGUGAUUUUGAAAUGAUUGAUUUAGGUCUUGGUUACUAUAUUGUCAAGUUUGAUCAAAACCAUGAUAUGAUCAAAGUUCUUAGGGGGGUCCUUGGAAGAUAUUGGGUCAUUAUCUAACUGUUCAAAAAUGGAAGCCAAACUUCAAGCCUUCUACUGCUUCUUUAGGUUCAACUACAAUCUAGAUCAGGUUACCAGAGUUACCGUUUGAAUAUUUCAAUGAAAAGGUGUUGAUGGAGAUUUGUUGGCUCCUUAGUAAACUGUUAUGGCUUGAUGCUAACACAAACUUAGUGGCACGAGGGAAAUUUGCGAGAAUUUGUGUUGAAGUUGAUCUUGCCAAACCUUUGAUCCCUAGGAUCAAAAUUGGAGACUUGAUUCAGAAAGUAAAAUAUGAAGCUAUUUACACAGUUUGCUUUCGAAGUGGAGUUGUUGCACAUAGAGUUGACAACUAUCUAUUAGAGAACACUGGGGUGGUUAGUGAGUAUUUAAGUGACGGCAUAACCGUUGCAAAAGAAAGAGGUCUAAUGGUAACUAGAACAACAAAGGUAAAUGGUGAUUCCUCUAACUCCACUAAUUAUGGUCCGUGGAUGAUGAUAUAGAGGAAAUCUUGGUGGGGGUUAAGGAAUAAAAGUAAGAAAUUAGGUGCAGGUAAAGAAGGAGAUUUUGCAAAUCGUUUUGAUAUUUUAAGGGAGGAAAUUGUGGACAUUGACAAUGACCCUUUAACUAAUCAAAACAAUGAGCCAUUAACUGAUCAAACUAUCUUCAAAUUGGUAGGGAACGUGGAAAAUUUUAAAAGGAUUGAGGCUAAGUCCUAGAAGGCUGCUAUAGAGCGAAAGAAUAAUUUAGUGGACUUAAUCUUAGUGGCAAAGAAUUUGUCAAAGUUGGCUAGUAGAGAGAAUAUUAUUAAGUUGAGGAAUGAACAGGUUAAAACAUAUGGGCUUAUUCCUAGGAAAAUCUUUUUCUUUAAAGCCCAAGCAAAUAAGUAUAAAGAAAACUCUUUCUUAAUUGGCAGACAAAGUAAAAAACCUUACCAUGGGCCAUCAAAGAUGAUGUUAGGUUCAGGAAUAAUGGUGAUGAAUUUGGGACAUAAUACAACUGUUGAAUUAGACCAUCAAUCUUGACCUCCCAUCGGUCUUGCUCAUCAUAUAGACCCCUUUGAACAAAGUCUAAGGAUGAGAGGUAGUAUCCAAGAAGAGUAUGAAAACUUGGAUGAAACCAUAAUAGAAAUAUUUCGUAAGAAAGAAGGUGAUUAUGUUCAAUCUGAACCUAAAGAAAGGGAACUUCUUCAACAAGUAGAACUAACCCAUUCAAUUUGAAAGAAGAUAAUUUCAUGGAACUACAAAGGCAUUCUAAAUAAAAAAUACCUUCGAAAUUAUAAAGAUUUAAUAAGAACUUAUGUCCUUGAUGCUUUUGUUUUUCUUGAAACUAAAUGUAAUGAGGAGAGUCUAGAUUCUGAUUUUGCUAAAAUAUUGGGUUUUGAUCGUUCAUUUGUGGUGCUAUCUUUGGAUUUUGUAGGUGGUAUUCUUGUACUUUGGAAGCAGGAUAGAAUUAAAAUAUAGAGCCUUCAGUUGAAUAAUCAAACUAUCAAUUAGUUGAUACAAGAUUUGAAUUUGAGUUGGGUACUAUCUUGUGUUUAUGUAUAGCCUCAUUGUCAAUGAAAGGAUAUUUCUUGGGAUGAGCUGAGGAGGUUUUUUACAACUGUAAAUCCACAGUGGGUGGUGCCAGGUGAUUUUAACAAUAUUUCUUGGUGUGAAGAGAAGAGUGGAAGGUCUAGAUUCUGUGUUAACAGAGCUCAGUACUUCAUGGAUAGAUGGGAUGCUUGUAGUCUAUUAGAUAUAGGUGAUAUUGGUGUUAAAUCCACUUGGUCUCGUAAGAUAAAUGGAAGAGUUAUAAUUUAGAAAGGUUGGAUAAGCUAUUAAUGAACCCUUUAGCUCAAGAAAAAUUACUUGAAGCAAGGAUUGUGAAUCUCUCAAGUUUAAGUUCAAACCAUCAUCUAAUUCUUUUUCACUCAACCAUGAAAAAUCCACCUUUUAAGGAGAAUAAACCAUUUAGAUUUCAAGCAGCUUGGUUAACUCAUCAGGAUUUUGACAAUGUAUUUAGUUUAGCUUAGGAGUUUAGUGAUUCAUUGCUUUAGUCCAUUGCUUCAAUUACUUUUGUAUUAAAAAUGUGGAGUUAUGAUCAUUUUGGGACAUUUAUCGUAAAAAGAGAAAAUUGGUGUUAAGGAUUGAUGGUAUCCAACGUAGUGCCUCAUAUGAUCAGUCUUUGUUUUUACAGAAGCUAGAGGUGGAUUUUCAACGUGCGUAUCAGUUAGUUUUAUAUAAGGAGGAACUGCGAUGGUACCAAAAGUCCAUAUCAAAAUGGAUUCGGGAUGAAGAGCAAAAUACAAAAUUCUAUCAUCUUUUGACAGUGGUAAAACGAAAAAAGGAAUAGAUUAGCUGCGUUAAUGGUGAAUGAUCAUUGGGAGACAGAUUCGACAGUGUUAAAGGAACAUGCUGUCUCUUUUUAUGGUUCACUUUUUUAGUAGAAAAUAUACAAUUCUCUUGAGAAACAGCUUUAAUAGACGACAGCUUAUGAUGUCAUUGAAUGCUCAAGCAAAACUCGUGAAGCCCUUUAAUAUGGAGGAAAUCCAAAUAACUAUGUUUUCUGUGUGGGGUUUUCAAGCACUAGGGUUGGAUGGAAUCUAACCCUUAUUCUUGUAGAGAAAUUGGGAGGUAGUCAAAAAUCAUAUUAGCUCUUUUUUGAAUCAAACUUUAGUAAAUGGCCUUUUCCCGUUUGAUUUUUCUAAGGCCUAUAUCAUUGUAAUUCCUAAAAAGGAAAAUCUAUUGACAAUAAUGGAUUUUAAACCUAUCAGUUUACUUAAUAUUUCAUAUAAAAUUCGUACGAAGUUUUUAGUAAACAGAUUAAGGCUUCUUUAUAGGAGAUGGUAUGACCAUUCUAAGGCAGUUUCCUCCAAAGCAAAAGUGUUAGUGAUAAUAUUUUGAUUACUCAGGAAGUUGUGCAUUUUCUUAUGAAAUUGAAAGGAAGGAAAUUGUAAAGCCUGACCUUAUAAAAUACUUGUCAUGACAUACAUGUGAUGGAUAGCAUGUUUGCAUGCUAGGAGAGUCCCGAAAAAAUUUACAAAAGUCGGUAUUAUACCUAGAGGAACAACAAAGUUGAUUUAAACCUCGAACUAGAUCAAAUAGAGAUUUUAAGGUGAAAUUGAAAAUUUUACAAUCAAUGAAUAACUUAAAAUGGUGAUUCGGAGUUCGAGGAUUAAUUUGAAGUCAAAUUAGAAUUUUCACUAUCUAGGGGUAAAAUGGUAAUUUUGCUACUUGAGGAUAAAAUUGAAAUAUCGAAAGAAGUUUUUGAUCAAUAUUGAUCACAUUUGACUCAUUGGAGUAUAAUUUGAGGUUGAUAAGUGAAAAAAAUUGUAAUCCCGGUACUUUUCAAAGCAUAGGGGUAAAAUGGUAAUUUUGCCAUCCCAAGGGCAAAAUUGUAAUUUUACACACCCGAUACUUGUCCAGCACAUGGAUUUUAUCCAAUAUUAUCAUGGAUAUUUGAAGGAAAUUUACAUGGAGGAGAGAGAAAGCUUAAUAGUUAAGAAAUUAAAAACGGGCCAAUGACAUGAUGCCAUGUGUCAUGCCNAACAGCCUUGGCGGACUCGGUUAGAUGCCUCGGCCAAGGUAUCCCCGAGAAUGAUUUUAGCAAGAGCCAAGCUUUUAAAAUACUCAUAAGCCAUGUUGAAUAUUUAAAUGAAAUGAAUAUUUAUGUUAUGAAAUACAUAUUGAGAUGAAUAUUUUUAACAGCCUUGGCGGACUCGGUUAGAUGCCUCGGCCAAGGUAUCCCCGAGAAUGAUUUUAGCAAGAGCCAAGCUUUUAAAAUACUCAUAAGCCAUGUUGAAUAUUUAAAUGAAAUGAAUAUUUAUGUUAUGAAAUACAUAUUGAGAUGAAUAUUUUUAACAGCCUUGGCGGACUCGGUUAGAUGCCUCGGCCAAGGUAUCCCCGAGAAUGAUUUUAGCAAGAGCCAAGCUUUUAAAAUACUCAUAAGCCAUGUUGAAUAUUUAAAUGAAAUGAAUAUUUAUGUUAUGAAAUACAUAUUGAGAUGAAUAUUUUUAACAGCCUUGGCGGACUCGGUUAGAUGCCUCGGCCAAGGUAUCCCCGAGAAUGAUUUUAGCAAGAGCCAAGCUUUUAAAAUACUCAUAAGCCAUGUUGAAUAUUUAAAUGAAAUGAAUAUUUAUGUUAUGAAAUACAUAUUGAGAUGAAUAUUUUUAACAGCCUUGGCGGACUCGGUUAGAUGCCUCGGCCAAGGUAUCCCCGAGAAUGAUUUUAGCAAGAGCCAAGCUUUUAAAAUACUCAUAAGCCAUGUUGAAUAUUUAAAUGAAAUGAAUAUUUAUGUUAUGAAAUACAUAUUGAGAUGAAUAUUUUUAACAGCCUUGGCGGACUCGGUUAGAUGCCUCGGCCAAGGUAUCCCCGAGAAUGAUUUUAGCAAGAGCCAAGCUUUUAAAAUACUCAUAAGCCAUGUUGAAUAUUUAAAUGAAAUGAAUAUUUAUGUUAUGAAAUACAUAUUGAGAUGAAUAUUUUUAACAGCCUUGGCGGACUCGGUUAGAUGCCUCGGCCAAGGUAUCCCCGAGAAUGAUUUUAGCAAGAGCCAAGCUUUUAAAAUACUCAUAAGCCAUGUUGAAUAUUUAAAUGAAAUGAAUAUUUAUGUUAUGAAAUACAUAUUGAGAUGAAUAUUUUUAACAGCCUUGGCGGACUCGGUUAGAUGCCUCGGCCAAGGUAUCCCCGAGAAUGAUUUUAGCAAGAGCCAAGCUUUUAAAAUACUCAUAAGCCAUGUUGAAUAUUUAAAUGAAAUGAAUAUUUAUGUUAUGAAAUACAUAUUGAGAUGAAUAUUUUUAACAGCCUUGGCGGACUCGGUUAGAUGCCUCGGCCAAGGUAUCCCCGAGAAUGAUUUUAGCAAGAGCCAAGCUUUUAAAAUACUCAUAAGCCAUGUUGAAUAUUUAAAUGAAAUGAAUAUUUAUGUUAUGAAAUACAUAUUGAGAUGAAUAUUUUUAACAGCCUUGGCGGACUCGGUUAGAUGCCUCGGCCAAGGUAUCCCCGAGAAUGAUUUUAGCAAGAGCCAAGCUUUUAAAAUACUCAUAAGCCAUGUUGAAUAUUUAAAUGAAAUGAAUAUUUAUGUUAUGAAAUACAUAUUGAGAUGAAUAUUUUUAACAGCCUUGGCGGACUCGGUUAGAUGCCUCGGCCAAGGUAUCCCCGAGAAUGAUUUUAGCAAGAGCCAAGCUUUUAAAAUACUCAUAAGCCAUGUUGAAUAUUUAAAUGAAAUGAAUAUUUAUGUUAUGAAAUACAUAUUGAGAUGAAAUAUUUUAAUUGUCUUAUUUUACUCGGACUUUAGAUCUUUUGAAUGAUGUUUGUUUACUCACUGAGAUUAUAAAAUCUCACCACUCUCCUUUCCCUCCAUUUCAGACUCAGAUUAGACUGUAGAUAGCUGAUCUCAUCGAGGACUACCGUUGGGUUUGCAUUCUUCAAACUGUAGGUUAUAGUCCUAUUUACUUUUGUUUAUUCGGGGGCCCACUUAUUAUUGUAAAUUAAAUUAAAUAUUUUGGCUUACUGUAUUACAGUAUGUAUGAAUUUAUUUAACUUUUAUACUACAAAAAUUAUUUAUGUAUAACUCUAAAAAUAUUGUUUUAUGAUAAAAU